RNAcentral lists this long non-coding RNA (57160 nucleotides) under Erythranthe guttata (spotted monkey flower). RNAcentral's name for it is "long non-coding RNA (EGUT_LNC002621)". The stretch from base 48986 to 49056 matches the Rfam family "tRNA". The record is from RNAcentral. Lineage: Eukaryota; Viridiplantae; Streptophyta; Magnoliopsida; Lamiales; Phrymaceae.
AAAUCAGUUUUUAUUUGUAUUUCAACCAUGAAAUUUUGGCCGAUACCUUGUAUUGGGUUUUGCUGUGAGUCGUGAAAUGUGAAUUCUUAAAAAUACUAUCAGAUGCGUCUUGUAAUAUUGUACACAGCUUUGUUGACUUGUGUAUUUAUUUAGUUUUAGAUACAAAAAAGAAACUAACAGCUAUCUAAAUGGUUGAUCAUCACAAUUGAAAUUUUAGAAUCAUUGAACAUAUGCUUUCGCAUGACAAUAAAUAUUCAAACGCUGGUUACAACGAUUGGGUAGUAGAUGGUUAUGGAUGAAAAAAGUGAUGCCAAUUUUAUUACACCAUUUAGUAAUCCGUUACUUUUUUUAAAGAACAUUUCAAUCAACCUGUUAUUCUCAACAACAAAUAGACCUUCCUUAGUAAAUUAGUUAAUGAUACAUCAAACGUGGCUGUAGUUUGUAUAGGGAGACAUCAAAUAAGAUGGUUUCACACAUAUUAGCAGACACCAAUGACGAAUAAUGCAUAAAUGAAUAUACACCCAUACUUGAGAUGUGAUUAUUGGCUAACAAAUUGCACUGUUAAAAGUAUUAUUAGCGAUAUUGAAUAGAAUAUGCAAUACCUUUCUUUUUUAUAAAAAUUAUAAUAUAUUUUUCCAUCUAAAUUUCGCAAAACAAAAUGGUAGCAUAUAAAUACGGAAAUUGAGGAACAGAUAGGAUAAACAGUAAUCCAUUAUGAAUCAUUUGUGAAUUGUGGCAGCCCAGAAACCAUGUUAGGCCCAUUCAUUAAAGAUAAAAGGGCUGCUAUAAAUAAUAAAUCAAACCCUAGGGUUUUAUCAUUGCCAGUAGUAUUCAGCACAAACUUUACCAUCUAGGGUUCUGAAAGGCGCGGAGACAUUCGGAGUUUCUCUUUCUUCUGAACAAUGAGGGCUAAGGUAUGAGAUGCCCUGAGUUCUACUACGCUUAUACUAAUUUGAUUGUAUUUUUACUGUAAUAAAUAAUUAAGUUAUUCUAAUUUUUGGGUUACAGUGGAAGAAGAAGCGUAUGAGGAGAUUGAAGAGGAAGCGCCGAAAGAUGAGGCAGAGAUCUAAGUAAUCUCCUUUUUUUUUUCAGUUUGGCGUUUCUAGCUUUUCCUUUUUUAUUUAUUUAUUUAUAUCUAUGCUGCUUUCGAUUUCGUGAAUUUUGAUAUGUAGCACUACUUUGUUAUAUUUCAGAACUACAUUUUGUGGAUGAACUAUUUAAUCAGUUGAAUUUAUUGUCAUUAUUGAGUUUAACUUUUGUUCCUUACAUUCCCGAUUUUGCUUUGUUGGUGAUAUCAUCAUCAUAUAUAUGUAUCUGAAUUAUGACUGCGAUGAUUAAUUUUAUAUUUUGAUACCACUGUGAUUUGAUUUCUCCUAGAAAGCGGUCAUGUUUAGAAUUAUGACAAUUUUUUUUUGAAUAAGUUGUCUUUGCCGUGUCCUUUUUAAUGGAACUAGUAGAUGUGUUCAGUGUCCUCAGUGUGGACGAGAGUAUAUAGGAUAUUAAUCCUGUGCUUGGAUUAGGCUUUGUUCUCUUUUGAUCAAGAUGGAGCUGUGAAUUAUACUCUUUGUAAGAGACUUGUCAUACAUAUGGAAUUUGCUGCAUUUUUUAUUUUUCUGCAAGCAAAUUUAGAUUGAAGAUGAAUUUGCUUUAUGCUACUUUAGAUUUAGACCAAAAUUUGCUUCAUGCUACUUCUACAUUAGUGUUGAGUCAUUUCAGCAUUUGAGGGCACUAUCUUUAGAUGAAGAUUAGUUGUGGCCUAGUUAUUUUGCUCCUCUGAUCUUACAUGCUCUAAUAUAUUCCACUUUUUUUAUUUUGACAAUCAAAUAUGCCAAAGCUGGUAGCUUUUAAUAAUUUGAAUUCUACAUGUUUAUUGAUUAUUUAUAUUUUUAAUAUGUAACAUUCAUUAUUUCUGCCAUUAUUGGACAACUUUUCUCAAUGUAGAUUACUAUCUAUCUAAAUAAAAUACACGUAUUUUCUUGAGAUUUGUUUGCCAACUUGUCUAAUUUUAGUAGGAUUGUACUAUUUAGCGUCACCUUCUCGCCAAUUAAUAAAGAAAGAAGGGCAUGUAGAAUUAAGUUAAUCAUCAUAACCAAAGAAAAUGAAAUUAGACAUUUGAUCAAGUUGGUUGUAAAGUUAAUGAUUUUGUAUACCAUUAUUCUUCUUCUCUAAUAAAUAAUCAACAUAUAUAAAUUGGUAGGUUCCUUAGUUUUUUCAGUCAAUCAAGAAAGGGAAGUGGACAAUCCACUACUGGAAACGUAGUUUGACACGCCUUUGUGAUGACUCCGUAAUAUCAAAUAGAAAAAUCAAAUAAAAGGGUUUCUAGUUAUAAUAAUAAGUAGAUGCUAAUUAGUCCAAGUAAUAAUUAAACAAGAUGAAGUUUCCUUAUGCUCCCAAAUAUGGAGUAUGCACAUGCAAUUGAUUUAUGAACUGCGAUUAAGUGAACUUUAUAAGUUAGGUAAGCUCACCAAAUCUGUACUAAGCACCAUUAACAACAACUUUUGACAUCAUAAUGUUAUUUCUAUUAAAUUUGUUAGACAUGUGUAUGGAAAGGAUAAGGAAGUCGAUUGGUCGAAGAGAGAGAGAGAGAGAGAGAGUAGGGAAAGAAGCCAACUCACACAACACAACACAUUAUUUAUAUAAUAAUAAUAAUAAUAAUGUAUAGCAGCCAAAAAAAAAAAAAAAAAAUGGAAGUCAGUCUUUUGUUUGAUUCUAUGUCACACAGUGCAUAAGAAUAGCUCCCAAAGUCAAUCCCAUGCUAUAAAAAAUAAAAACAACGCAGGGCGGUGUGGCCCACAGUAAGCGCGUUGAAUACUCUUAUGUCUGUACAAAAUCCCCUUGUCUAUUAUUAUUACACAGAAAAACAUAUACAUAUUUUUGUUUUUUAAUCUUGGUACAACUCCUUCUUCCAACUAUUCCCUCUUUCUGUGUCUUCCCUAAAUCUCAAGUUAUUCAAUUCCAAGAAAGGCGUUGUUGUUGUUGAUGGAUUAUAUUCCCACAAUACAUUCAUCACUUAUGGGUGUUUCUUGCAACUUGCUACAAUUAUGAAAAUCCACCUCCUCUCUUCUCUUUUUUUCAUGUUCUUGUUCCAUCAAAUCUUGUCUUGUGUUAUUCUGGGUGUUUCUGGACAAUGCCUCAAUGAUCAAAGGUCUUUGUUGCUGCAGUUGAGGAACGACCUUGUCUUCAAUCCCGCCUUCUCCACCAAGCUUGUGCAAUGGAACCAGAGUGUUGACUGCUGCAAAUGGAAUGGCGUACUGUGCGAUACUAAUUCUGGAGGACGUGUCAUCUCUUUGGAAUUGGACAACGAGUCCAUUUCCGGUGGCAUCCAUAAUUCAACUGCUCUUUUCGGCCUUCGAUACCUUGAAAAGCUCAAUUUGGCAUUCAACAGCUUUGCAAGUAUUCCAAUUCCAAAGGGGCUUCAAAAUCUCACCAAUUUGGCGUACCUUAAUCUGUCGAAUGCUGGUUUUGGUGGGCAGGUUCCUGUUGAGAUUUCCACAAUGACUAGUUUGGUUAGUCUUGAUCUCUCCAACUUGUUUUCAGGCGCUGAUCCCAUUAAACUCGAGAAUCCUAAUUUGAGGACCCUUGUUCGGAAUCUUACAGGGCUCACUGAGCUUUAUCUUGAUAAUGUCAAUAUUUCAGCUCAAAAAAGUGACUGGGGUCUAGCCUUGUCUUCUUCUCUACCCAAAUUAACGAAUUUGAGCUUGCGCAGCUGUCUUCUUUCCGGCCCUUUGGAUUCUUCUCUUUCGCACCUUCAUUCUCUUUCGGUUAUCCGGCUCGACGGCAACAAUCUGUCAACAACAGUUCCAGACUUCUUUGGUACUUUCUCCAAUUUGACGAUUUUAACCCUCAGCAGUUGCUCGCUCGAAGGUCCCUUUCCCGAGACUAUCUUUCAGGUACCCACUCUACAGAGACUGGAUUUAUCAAGAAAUAUAUUGCUCAGCGGUACCAUAUCACAUUUUAUUCCUAACAGUUCUUUAACGACUGUGGUCCUUAGCUACAGUAACUUCUCGGGUUCAUUACCAGAUUCUGUUAGCAAUCUUGAGAUGCUGUCCAGAAUAGACCUGUCCAAUUGCCAGUUCAGUGGAUUGAUUCCAUCCUCACUGGACAAACUAACCCAACUCGUUUAUCUGGAUUUCUCGUUUAACUCCUUCACUGGUCCAAUCCCACUGUUUCAUAGGGCCAAGAAACUCUCUUAUAUAGACCUCAGUCGUAAUUCUCUUACAGGCUCUCUUUCUUCUGUUCAUUUUGACGGACUCUCGAGUCUUGCAAAUAUAAAUUUAGUGUUGAAUUUACUCAAUGGGAGCAUUCCCCCGUCUCUGUUUGCCCUCCCUUCACUACAGAAACUUCAGCUUUCCAACAACAGAUUUAGUGGCAAAGUCGAGGAUUUUUCGACGUCGAAUUCUAAUCUCGACACACUAGAUUUGAGCAGUAACCGCCUGGAAGGUUCUAUCCCGGAAUCUUUCUUCCUACUUGAACGGCUGAAUGUUCUCUCACUUUCUUCAAACUCGUUCAAUGGAACUGUGAAGCUGGAAAAGAUUCAAAUGCUUCGCAACCUUACAAGACUAGAACUUGGGCACAACAAUUUAUCAGUUGAUGCAAGCACCACUAGUUUAUUCCAAUUUCCCCAGCUAAGCAGGUUAAAUCUAGCUUCUUGCAAAUUGUCAGAGUUUCCCAAUUUGGCGAACCAAUCCAAACUGACAGUUUUGGAUCUUUCGAACAACCUUAUUAAGGGAGAUAUACCGAGUUGGAUUUGGAAUAUUGGGAAUGGAGGACUCUCCCAGUUGAAUCUUUCCUAUAAUCUCCUUACAGGUCUCCAAAAGCCUAUUAAUAUGCCUUCUUCUCUAGGUGUACUUGACCUACACUCAAAUAGGCUCCAAGGUGAGUUUCCAUUGCCCUCAGUAGCAUCUAUCUAUGUAGAUUACUCGAGCAAUAACUUUCAAGAGACGAUUCCGCUUAACAUUGGCACCUUCACUUUCUAUGCUCUAUUCUUCUCUCUUGCAAACAAUGGAUUUACAGGAACAAUUCCUCAAUCUCUUUGCAAUUCAACUUACCUUCAAGUUCUAGACUUUUCCAACAACAAGCUCAAUGGUAGUAUACCACUUUGCCUGCUGGAGAAUCUCACUAGUCUGGGGGUUUUGAAUCUCGGGAGAAAUCAUAUCGCUGGUGAUAUACCGGAUACAUUUUCUGUCAACUGCAGUCUCAAGACUUUGGACCUCAGUAAUAACAACAUAGGGGGGAAUAUUCCACCGUCCUUAGCCAAUUGCAGAUCUUUAGAGGUUGUGAAUGUUGGGAACAACAACUUUGAUGAUGGAUUCCCGUGCAUGCUUAAAAAUUCAUCCAGCUUGCGUGUUCUUGUUCUGCGCAACAACACAUUUCACGGUGAACUAAGAUGUUCUAUGGACAAAGAGAGUUGGUCGAAUCUUCAGAUUAUCGACAUAGCUUCCAAUAACUUCAGCGGUGAACUAUACCCAAAAUACAUCACGAGUUGGAAAGGAAUGAUGCUAGACAAUGAUGCACAGCCGAGGCGCAACCACCUACGCUUUGCGUUUCUGAAUCUGAGUAACUUCUACUACCAGGACACAGUGUCGGUGACCAUGAAAGGCCUGGAACUGGAGCUUGUCAAGAUUCUGACAGUCUUCACAGCCAUUGAUUUUUCUUGCAAUAACUUGAGCGGGGAGAUACCUGAAACAGUUGGAAACCUCAGUUCACUUUACGUACUCAACUUAUCUCACAAUGCUCUGUCAGGCGUAAUUCCAAGCUCUGUUGGAAACUUGAAACAGCUAGGAUCGCUGGACCUCUCUACGAACCAGCUAACAGGGGAAAUACCAAACGAACUCACAAGUCUCACGUUUCUUUCGUUCUUGAAUCUGUCCUACAAUAAUCUAGUUGGGAUGAUCCCAACAGGUACUCAAAUUCAAACGUUUUCUGCAGAAAGCUUUGCAGGAAAUCCAGGGCUAUGCGGGUUUCCUCUUAACACGAAAUGUGGCUCUAAUCGGCCGGAUUCAGAAUCAGUGGCAAGCUUGAAAAGGAUAGAAUUUGAUUGGCAAUCCAUAUUCACAGGUGUUGGAUAUGGGUUGGGAGCGGCGUUAGUAAUUGCUCCUCUUGCAUUCUGCAAGGAAUGGAGGGAAGAGUGCAACGAUAAAUUCGAUAAAUUUGUGAAGCAGAUGUUUCCGAGAUACGGAUUCAGUUACAUAAGGUAUGAUGGAAAGGUUGAGGCGGUGGAAAAAGUCGAAGAUGGGAUGACAGAUGAUGAUGAUGAUGAAGACGAAGAUGAAGAAGAAGACAUUGGAGAUGGAUUAAGUAGGGGAAAGUACUGUGUAUUUUGCACAAAAAUGGACAUUCAAAUAAAGAAGGCGAUGCACAAUCCAAAAUGUACAUGUCAUUUCUCGUCUCCCCCUACAGCAUCUUCUUCUUCUUCUUCAUCUUUACUAGUAAAAUAUCACUAGAACUAUGGAAUAUAUUUCAUUUGUAUAGAGAUACAGAUUACAGAGUCAGAAACAAAAAUAUUCUUUGAGAUGUUUAUGUAAGCUGAAUUGAUUACUUUGGUGAAUAUAUACUGGAAACAAAAACAAAAAAAACGAAAUGUUUUGGUAAUGAUGAGUCAGGUGAGUGAGUAAUUAUGUCGAACACCUGGUGCUCAAAUAUUGUUUCAUGUAAGAGUUGUUUGAAGAUGAUGUAGAAAGAAUAGACUCAUAUUAUGAAAAAUGAAAAGAAAAGGGAAAAAGGGGAAAAAGAAGAAAGAAAGAUUGUGAUGCAUUUGGUGUUGGUCAAGAAUCGUACCUGGUAUUGAACAGAGAAUGGUGAGUUGGUAGUACUAGACAAAGUAGAGUAGUGGGCUAGUGGGCUUCUCAUGAUGAUAUUAAUUAUUGGGCUUAAUCUCCAAUUCAACUGGAUCAUCACUUUCAGAUCCAUUUCCCGACUAAUUGUCUUAUUUCUCAACCAGAUCCAUUUUUUUUUUAAAUAACUCUCGUAUUAAUAUGUAACUUAAAUUAAAGGGUUUAUUAGGGAUAACCCCUUGUUCAUAUUUUCUAAUGAGGUAGAUCCAAUUUUUUUUCCCCUUUUUGAGAUAGACCCAAUUUUGCCAACUUGGCAAAAUAUAUUAUAUGAUUUUCCUUUAAUACCCCUGUUUUAUUUUUAAACGGCAUUUAUUUCCUUUACUACGUGAUUUGAGAUUUGCUGAUACGUUGCCUAAAAUCACGGAAUAAAAUUACGUGAGAUCAUUAUAUCAAAUCGUGUACAAUAUUUUUCGAAGGUUCUCUUCAGCGUUCCAGUGGUUUUUUAUCGUCUUUGAAGAUAUCUGCACCGUCGUUGAAAUAGGAUCGAAUUUGAGCGUUCGUUGUUGGACGUUGUUAACCGGGUACGAAUGCGUUAUUCGUUUUUAUUUUUCGCUCAAUGUCUAGGGUUGUCGAUUACGGUGGUUAGAAAUUUUUAAGAGUUGUGUUGAUACUUGAUUCUAUUAAGUAGAACGUUUUUUAACAAAAUUAUUCCGUCAUAUAUACAUCGUUAUUUUUGGCGGAUGAUGUUUGUUUGGAAGAUGAUUGACAGACUUAGAUGAGGAUGGUUCACGCAUAUCGGACCAGAGUUGUUUUAUAUGAACAUCGUAGUUGGUUUACGCAUUAAUUGAAAUAACUGUCCGCUGACGUGGAGUUCAUGAGUCUGAUCCCGGUCGAUAGUUAGUUUAUUUGUUUAUAACAGCGGAUUUGAGGACGCUGGGUAGUACAUUAAAAUAUAUUUCGUAGUAAUUUUUAAGUUAUCAUAUGAAUUUUGCAUUUUAAGUUUAUUUUUGAUCAUAUUAAUAUAUUUUUUAGUAUUCUGCAUUUUUAAUGUCGUAUCAUAUUAAUAUAUACAUCGUUAUUUUUGGCGGAUGAUGUUUGUUUGGAAGAGGAUUGACAGAGUUAGAAGAGGAUGGUUCACGCAGAUCGGACCAGAGUUGUUUUAUAUAAGCUUCGUAGUUGGUUUAUGCAAUAAUCGGAAUAAUUGUCCGCUGUGGUCGAGUUCAUGUUUUUGAUCCCGAUCGAUAGUUGGUUUAUUUGUUUAUAACAGCCGAUUUAAGUGUGCUGGGUAGUACAUUAAAAUAUAGUUCGUAGUCUUUUUUCAAUUAGCGUAUGAAUUUUGCAUUUUAAGUUUAUUUUUGAUGAUAUUAAUGUAUUGUCAUUCAAAUGUAUUUGCAGUCUAUUUAAUCAUUUUUUAGUAUUCUGCAUUUUUAAUUUUGUUUCAUGAUUUUAGGUUUUUUCGAUGGCGAAUUUCGUACGGAUUUUGUUGAGGUUUGGUGGGUUGGUUGCUAUAAAGAGGUGUUUACGAUGUAAUGGCUCGGUAACUUCGGUUAAGUUUUAAACCGUUGUAAUACAGUAGUAUACUAUUAUGAAUACCGUAUGAUACUACCAUUAUCAUUUUAUUGUACUAUUAUGAGAUUAUUAAUGUACUAGAGUUUUAACUCGACAUAUUGGUUUGAUUGUGUUAUGAUGUGUUUUAUGUAUUUUAUCAAAACCCUAGAUUGAAAUUAUGAGAUUAUUAAUGUACUAUUUUAUUGGUUAUGUUGGAAUACUUUACCUUGGUGUUGUUCUCAAUGUUCUUGUCAUUUCAGUGGUAUAUUAUUUGUAACACAAUUCAUAUCACUACUAUAACCGUAAUAUACUAUCAUAGCAGAUCAAUGUACUAUAUUGAAAUUAUUAAUAUACUAUGUGGUUGAAUAAUACGGGAUCCAUAGUCGAUUAACGAGAUCCAUAGUCGAAUUAGAUCAAUAAGAUAGUCUAUUACAUGAUAUAAAGAAAAUUACCCUAAUUGAUUAGUAUUUCAAACAAACAUAUUAUUCAGUUUCCAUAUAUAUUAUUAUUUUUCACAUAUAUUAUUAUUUACCUUAAUCGUUUUCAUAUAAUAAGGAAAACUACUCUAAUUGAUUAGUAUUUCAAACAAACAUAUUAUUCAGUUUCCAUAUAUAUUAUUAUUUUUUCAAUAGUCAAUUAACUAAACCCAUAGUCGAAUUAGAUACAUGGGAUAGUCUAUUAAAAGAUAUGAGAUAGUCUAUUAAUUUUAAAACACAAAUCCGCCGCCGUCACUUCUCAAAUCUAGGGUUUUGACGAUUCUUCGGCCCAUAGUCGAUUAACGAGAUCCAUAGUAAAAUUAUACUAGUGGGAUAGUCUAUUAAAUGAUAUGUGAUAGUAUAUUAAUACAGAUGUAAUUCGACUAUGCAUCUCGUUAAUCAACUAUGGGCCGAAGAAUUAUCAAAACCCUAGAUUUGAGUAAUCCUAGAUUUGAGUAACCCUAGAUUGGAGCAGUGACGGCGACGGCGACGGCGGCGGCCAACGACGAUAUCACUUCUGGUGGAUGUCCUGCCAAUCAAUUGUUGCAAUAUCACUGAUUUAGUGCUCGAAUUCGGUAUGCGAUUAUAACAGAUCUGCAAUUACGUACACAAACGUGAUAGUCGAUUUAGCCAAAACAUAUCAACAAAUCGAUGGAUGAUAGCGAUUCAGCGAGUGGCGACGACGUACCUACGACAACUUGCUCGGAGUGCACGAAAAUCGUCGUUUCACGGCAGUGAGACGUCUUCCCCUUUCAAUCAGCCGUACCGGGAAGUUGUUAUGGGAGGUUUUGCAGUUUAUUCGAUAGUGGGUUUGGGAUGAUAGUGAUUUAACGGGAAAAUAUGAAGGGAUUUGAUUUUAUUUCAAAAGGUAAAGUAACGGGUUUUGUGGCAUUUGAUUGAGGGUAAUUAUGUAAUUAUGAAAAGUUUGGGCUGUUAUCAAAAUGGCAAAUAUAAAUUUGGGUCUACCCCUAUUAUUUGAAUGUUUAAGGGGGUUAUAUCUAAUAGACCCUAAAUUAAAUCCCGUAAUUUAAAAAAAAAAUGUAACUUAAAUAUAAAACACCAACCUGAAAAUGUACAAUGAUCAUUUAAGAAGAAACCCAAAAAUCUUGCUAAAAAAAUGUGACUAGGGGUAUAUAUGUCCCUAAAAGGAAAAAAAAGAUUAAAGGGAUGACGGAGUCAAACUCGUGAGUCAGAGAGGGAGGCAGGUGGAUUGACCCCAGCUCUACAAAGGGGACAAGUGGAACGAGUGAUGAGCCACUUGUCAACGCAGUCGGAGUGAAAACCAUGGCGGCAGAGUGGCAAAACCUUGACCUUGUCGCCCUCUUGAAACAUGCUCAAGCAAAUGGCGCAGUCGGCCUCGGCUGGUUCUGGGAUCGGCUUCUUGUUCUUGCAGCAGCUGGUUGAGCCGUAGGAGAAAAUGGGCAAACUUCCAAUGGUGGCAGGGUCAAGGCCCGCCGUCCGAGGAGGAGGAGGUGCAGGUGGAGUGUUGGAAUUGGGAGGAGUUUGGUGGCGGGUGCAUAUGUAAAGAAAGUAAAGGGAAAAGAAGGUGAAGAAGAAGAAGAAGAAUAAGAAGAGUGCACCAAGAAGUGGGCUCUUGCCAUCAAUCUUUUCUUUUAGGUCUGUGAAAUGAAGAGCCUCGAAAUUCUCCGAUGCCAUUCUAUCUAUCUAUGUCAACACAUUUCACUCGAUCCAGAAAUCAAACCCAAAUUAAAGAAGAUAGACACUCGAUCGGCCUCGUGUUUUUUCACAACGAUAAUAAUAAUAGUUGUAAUAAUAAAAUAAAAUAAUAUAUAUAGCUGGACGAAAAGCGUUUUGAAUACGACGACAUAAAUGUGAGAUUGGAUACUGCUUUUAUUGUAAAGCAACAAUAAUAUUGAUUUUAUGCUUAUCAAUUUCACUUUUCAUCUUUACUUUCUUUCUUUCUUCCUUCCUUUCUUUCUUUUUUUUAAAAAAAAAAAAAAGGAAAUUAAGAUUAAUUAUCCAGUGCUGUCUUUUAUGGUUCUUUUUGGGGCGUGUGAAGAAGAAGAACAAGAACAAUAAAUCUUAGCAGCUUGCGUUCCGAUGACGACAUGAUUGUAUCGGAAAUUAAUAAUUUGUACGUCCAACUGGAUUUGUAUUUCAUACCAUUUUCGAUAUUAAUUUUUAACAACUAAUUUUGUGAGGUUAAUUACCAUUUAUUAAUUACUAAUUACUACCCCAAUAUAAUAGAUCAGAAACGAAAAUAAAGCAAGCGCGUAUUACAAAAUACAAAAUAAUUAAAGAUGCUUGAUUUUUUCAAAUUGAGGUAUUACUCCACAAUUAUCAGAACCUAGCUACAUAUUAAUUAGAGAGAAAUAUAAACAUAGAAUAUUAAUUAAUAAAUAAUACUAUUAAUUACCAAGAAAUAAAGGCAUGGAUGGAUGGACGAUCGAUCAGCUUAGUAGGUUGAAUGAAAGCAUGCAUAAAUAAAUAUAUAUAGUUCAUGAGUAGUAGUGGUGGUCUGAUCUCCGGGCUGCACCAUACAUCUCGUCCUCCCAUGAUGAGUAAUUAUAAUUAUCCUCGUCAAAAGGGAGAUGGAGAUCAUCAUUAUCAUUAUUAUCAUUAAUUAAUAAUGAAGAAGAACAAUUAUUAAUAUUAUUAUUAUUAAUAACAGUUAAAUUAUAAUUAGUGGGAUCAGCAUUAAGGGUGGUGGUGGUGGUGAUAUUAUCGAUCAUGGAGUGGUGAAGCCAUAUCUGAUUUUGUAGAAACUUGACGUACUGUAUGGCUUCUUCAAGCAUCGACACUGUGUCCAUUUUCGAGCCACCUGGUACCAGGCUUUGCAAUAUCUUGAACCUCUCACUUAUCCUGUGCCGCCGCUGCCUCGCCGCCACACUCUGAGGGUCUGUCGACAGCUUCCCCCCUCCAUUCCCCUUAUUCUUCUUCUUCUCCUUCUCCUUCUCCUUAGCGGCCGCAGCGGCGAUUACUGAACUUGACUCGCAGGAACUAGGGUUUGACAAGGACGAAUAUGAAUCCAUUAUAUUUCUUGAGGGUUUCAAUUACUUUCAAACAUAUAAAUGUGCAGAUUCUCGUUGAGAGGUAAAGUUACAUAUAUAUAUGGGGUAAAAUAAAAUGGCAGUUAAGCAUGUCAUAUUGUGAUCAUACAUAUAUAUACAUAGCUAGUGAGAUAUUUCUUUUUUCUUUUUCUUUUUUUGUGGUUUCAGUUAACCGAAAUGUUCAGCGUCGUUUCAAUUAUACUAAUAUCGUUUUGACUUAGAACGUAAUUUUGACCCUUCUCUACUUAGAAUUUGGUUAAAUUCAAAAGACAGAAACUGUAGUACUUUGAGUUAGCUUUCUUAUCCAAUUUGAAUCAGCUAGAUUGGAUGUUGUGCGAUAAAGUUACACAUAAAUGAGUUACAUUUUAAAUUUUACAUAUAAUUUAAAACAUCAAAGUUGUGAGCAAUGUUCAUUGGUUCAUGCAUAACUUUCUAAACCGAUAUCCAAUCUUGGUGAUUCAAGUUAUAUUAGAAAGCUAACUCAAAGACUACAAAUUCCAUAUUCUGAAUUUUGCCAAAUUCAAACUCGAAAAUGAUCAAAAUCACGUUGGAAGUUGAAAUGACAUUAUGAAAAACUGGAACGAUAUGUAUCACAUCCCUUUAGUUAAUCAUAUUUUUUAUCUAGGUUUUAUACUUAACAAGUAAUUAUAUGUGUUGAUUAGACUGAUCAUUUCAAGGAUUUCAUUUUAAAUAAAUUUAGUAAUUAAUUUGGUUUUAGUUUAAAUUUGAUUUAUAUAUAAAUUAGGGUUAGAAUAUAAUGGUGUGGGAGUGGGGCUAGUGUUGAAAAAGAAAGAAGUGGUUGGGUUGGGUUAGAAAUGAAAUGAUGGCCCAAAUCAGAAUGGAUAUUCAAUCAUUCCCAAUGUUAAAAAAUAGGGGGGCCCCCCUAGGCCCUGCCCUCAAUCCAAUAUAUGUAUUUCCGGGCCUUUUAAUAUUAUUAUUAUUAUUGUCCCUCUUUUUAUCCCUACUCUAGUCAACUGUUUUCAUUCAAACAAUGUAACUAUUGCAGACCAACAUUCAUAAUUAAUUUAAAUAUGGAUACAAAUUAAUGAGGUUCCAAUUUAUUUAUAUAUAAAAAAAAAAAAAAAACAACUCAUUUGACUGUAUAUUGGUAAUUGGUGCAGGCGAUGGAAAGCACAUGGGUUUCCGGCCGGGUGGGUAAAACCCUAUUUGUAACUUUUAACUGUCUUCUCAAUAGUCAACUACUCUUCAGCACUCAUAAAAUUAAAUCAUCAUCAUACCAUAUUUUUUACAUAACACAUGCACGCACGCAUGUUUGAUUUUAUUUUUUCUAAUAUAAAAAUUAAUAUUAUGCAAUCAUCAAAACCAAUAUAUUAGCUUGUCUUUAUAUAUAUAUAUAUACACACACUAGUUACAGUAAUGAUGAUUGAUUUGAUUAGACUUAUUAAUAAAGUAUGAAGCCGAAUUAAGAUACAUAAGAAAAAGCAUGAGGAAGCCGAUAUGAUCCAUAGAGAAUUGAUUUGUUAGGUGAAAAAAGAUGGAGUAGACAUUUAUGCAGUAGCACAUUUAAAUAUAUGGAGUGACGUAAUUAUUAUGGGGGUUGAUUCGGAGAUAGAUGCAGAAUGCAGAAUGAAUGAAUUAAUUAAUCGUCUUAAUUCAAACCUGACAAUAUAAAUGCAUAUGCAUGUGACAGUACUACAGCAAUAUGUCCUUCAUUUUUGUACUUCCAUUUUAGUCCUUCACUGUAGGGGCCAUAUAUACGCCCAAUUAAAUAUUUGUAGGAAAAUUAAAAUACAUGAUGAUGGAAUUAAUUGUCUAGUAGGCCUUAAAAGUUUCAAACGGGCCGGGCCGCGAAGAAGCUGGAAGUUGGAAAAGUAUAAAGCCUUUUGGGCCAGGGCCCUUAUUGAAAGUCUACCUGCAACUGCAAGUCAGCGGUAUUGAAUGAAUAUCCAAAAGUCAACAAAGGAAAGCAGCUGUAUUGAAUGAAAUCCCAGAAAAAACAGAAUAGCACGCUUCAUAGUUGGUGGUGAUGAAGAAUUUGAAUCGAAAGCCGGAAAUGGGAAGGAGAAAUGGAGUGAUAGGGCUGGGAUUGAUGCCCGAUCAUUGGCCAACUACUUCUAACAUCAUCAAUGUUUCAUUUCCACUUCCCCCCCAAUAUCCAUCUACCUCCACCACCCCUGCCCCUGGUAUGUACCAUUUUUAUCCUCUGCACUCAUUCCAUUGUCUUUUUUUUUAAUUAAUAAUUUGGUGGAUAAUUUUGGAGGAUAAGGAUGGGCAAACCAAAACCAAACCGAACAUAUAUAGUUGUUUUAGUUUAUUAGUUUUCUCUUCCUUAAUUAGAUCCACGUUGGUGACAGUAUGUAUUAGUUAAUUUUAUCAUGAUUUUUUGUUACAAGUUGGAAAUUCUACUAAUGUUGAUCCUUUCUUGAUGGGAAUAUGCCUGAUUUUGCUAUUCAUUUUAUUUCUAUCUAUUUCAUUUGAUUAUGUUACUAUCCCCUUGCCAAUUAUUAUUCCAAGUAUCUGGCUUCCUUUUGGGUCGUCGUGAUGUUUAUAAUUCGUAAAUUGUAAUCGGUCGAUCGGAGUGGCUUUUAUGCUUUCUUUCCCAAAAGACUCAUUCAUGUGCCUGUGGUAGUAGUAGAUAUAGAUAUGACAUUCAAUGUUGAAUGAUCUGAUUUUGAGAGGGAAUGAAUCUUUAGUUAUAUCAUAUAUGUUUAAGUUUCAUUUUACUUUCUCAAGGUUGUGUAUAAUCUGAUAUUCAUUUACCAAAAAAUGAAAAUGAAAUGAUAUAAAGCCUGAGACACACAAACUUUUCAUGUUUACAUGUAAACAAAAACAAGAAGAUGAGCCGAAAAGCCAGGAGGAGGAAAUCUCUAAAGGAGAGGAAGCUGUUGCUCAAGUAAGGAAAGAGGUUGACAUCCUCGAGCAUCAGGUAUGUAAUUGUUUUCACUUUUUUUAAUUUCGUUUCAUGACAUGUGCCCAUUUAAUUAAUUAAUUAAUUAUUUUUCGAUGGUAGGUAUUUGCAUUGCAAGUUGUUGUGAACAAUGGAAGCAAAGUUGAUGGCAAGGAAAUAAGUUACUUGACUGAGAUGCUUAUGAUGAAGUUGCUUAAAUUGGAUGGCAUUGAAGCUGAAGGUGAAGGGAGAGCUCAGAGAAGGAUGCAGGUUUUUGCUUUCAUCCACUUUAACUCUCUACUCUUAUAGUUCAAACAUAUGGCACAACUAGCUAGUAUUAUUUUCUUCUCAUUAAGAUUAUUAUAUCCAGGUACGUCGGGUCCAGGGCAUUGUCGAGAAACUCGAUCUCCUAAAAUUGAGAAACUCAAAGCUAUGACAUGUUUAUUUAUGCCUUGUAUCCAUCCUUUCAUUAUUACAUCCUUUUACGAGUUUACCCUGAAUUGGGGACUUGUGGUAUAUAUAGUACAUGUUUGGGUUGUGAGUCGUGAAAUUUCUUAUACCGGUCAGUGCAUUCAAUAUUUACUAUUAUGUAUUUGCUCAACUUGGAUUAUUGGUUCUGGAAUCACUUUGUUGUAAUGAUAUUUGAUUUCAUCAUUGUACAAAUCUCUUGUUUCUGUAUGUUGCGCACCCAUUUGAACUCGAAAACAAACGUAAGAGAAUACAUAAUACUUAUGUGGUGUUUGCAAACGCUUUUCCAAAGUGACUAUGAGCUUUUUUUGGUUCAAAAUCAGUUUUUUUUUAAACAUUAAAAAACUCAUAAUCACUUUGGGUAACCGUUUGCAAACACUGCCUUAAUCUAUUACAAAGAUUUACUUAUGAGAAUGGGAUUAGGGGAUUACAAGUUAUCUAAGAACAAAAGAAACAAAAAUUGGAAACUGAAGAAACAGACCAACAAAGAAGCUAUGAACAAUUCAACUCCAAUGAAUGUGGAAGCUCGGCUUUCUGUUACAGCUUAGUUUCCUAUUGUCACGUUUCUCGUCCAAAAACCACCGACGAUGGCUUCAACAGUUGAGCACAAAACACAAACAACUCUUUAUUUAUGUUUGUAUCUUUUGUUUUCUUUGUCACUCACUCUAACAAAAUUAUGGUUCCCUCUUAUUAGGAGAUAGGAUAUUAGGAGAUAAGUCAUUGAAUAGAAGCUGAAGCAUAAUUUCUUAUUUAAACUCACAUUUCAUAUAAUACAAUCAUACAUAACAAACCAUGUGAUCGCAAGUCACAACACAAGGUUAAAACAAUCUUCGAACCAAUGCCACUCUCAAUUCCUUUAGUCCAUCCACACAACAAAUCUUAUAUCUACAAAACCAGUGGAAUAAUUAAGUAGAUACAAAUUCAUUCUAACAUUAAAAAUUAUAAAUCAAUAGUAACACCCCUAGCACUAAAAAGUCCAGUAGUUUGAGGCAAAUCAUGAUCUGGAUGAGAUGGAUUAUGCCAUCCGUGUUUAGCAGAGUCAUAUUUCUCACCAUCACCCCAAAGAGCGUACGCUUCCUCACCAUGGACAGCAUCAUCUCCAAUCACGAGAUGCUCGUCUGGCAUGCGCAGAGGUAUCACUAUUUUGAUUAGCAGCAGAAUCACUGUUGUGGAUAUGAAGUUCCAUCCAAUGACAAAUAAUGCGGCUACUAAUUGCUUAACGAAUAGCAUUCCUCCACCGUAAAAAGCACCCUUUGUGUUUGUUACUGGCAGAAUCAUGCUGCACAGUGUCGGCUCCGCAAACAGCCCUGUGAGAAGGCCGCCCAGUAUUCCGGCCACAGCGUGUGUAUAGAACACGGCCAAUGUAUCAUCAACCUGCCAUUAGUUAGUAGAUUAAAGUAGAUGAUGAUGUCAGAAAUAUUUGUUUAAUAUAUCUUAGAGAAUAAGGAUGGGUAAUUAGUAUAAUAGUUCAUUAAUUACAAGUAGUAAUUGUCACGUGAGAAUUGCAUCGAGAAGGGAAAUUAAGAUGUGCAUCAUGGAUAUGAUGAACUAUUCCGAAUGACGAUGUGAAUAUCCCAAUUAAUUAGUAAGCAUAAAUAAUGCAAGUGGGAACGUGCGUAUCAUCAUGGAUGAACAUAUUUGAGAAUCCAAUUUUAAAUUGCUGAAUUAGAAAAACAUAUACGUACGAUCUGGACAGACUAAGUAUUAGAAAAAUAAAUUAAAGAUUUAGGAGGAGAAAAUAUCCUUAUAAGUUGACCAAAAAAACAUGUGCAUAGUUAGGCAAGUUUCUUUUCUGAAUAGUUGGUUAGUUGGUUGGUGUAAAGACAGACUAAAGAGUAAAGAGAGAGAGAGAGAAGGUAGUUCCGGGAAAGAGGUAGGUAGGUAGUUACCUUUUGAAGCAAAGUGGACUUUUUGUGAAGAAUCAUCAUAGAAUACCAUGGAACACUACCAGAAAGCAUUCCGUAUACAAUAGCAGCCCAAGGUUGAACCACACCUAGUAGUGUAAAUAUUGUAAUUUUGAUUAAUUAAUUAAUUAAUUAAUAAAUAAUGAAAUGAAAUAGAAAUAGAAAUAGAGGCCAGAAGUAGCACCUGCACCAGGAGUAAUGCAAGCAAGACCAGUAAUCAUACCCUGAACAGCACCAAUAACAGAGGGUUUACCAAAGUAGAAAACAUCAAGACAAGUCCAAACAAGAAGACUAGUAGCUGCAGAUACAUUGGUGUUCAAUAUAGCUACAGAUGAAACUACAUUUGCUGCAUAUGGUGCACCACCAUUAAACCCAGACCAUCCCAUCCACACCAGCCCUGCUCCCGCAAGCAUUAGCAGUAUGUUGUUCGGUACAUAUCUUUCCCUGUCUGCUUUCAAUCUAGGCCCCACCUGUAUGUCGUCAUUUUUUCAUCCCAUUAAUUUCAUCAAUUAAUUGGUAAUAAAUAUUCAAGAAAGAAUCAAGAAUGAAUUACGUACCCAAUAAGCCGCCGUGAAACCAGAAAUUCCAGAUGCGAGAUGAAUGACGUAGCCCCCGGAAUAAUCAAUCACACCCCAGUGGUAUAGAAACCCACCUCCCCAUAGACUGUAGGCGCCGACGGUGUAACAGAAAGUCAACCAAAGAGGCACAAACGCCAUCCAAGCCUUAAUGUUCAUCCUCCCCAACACCGACCCCGCCAGCAAAAUGGUGGUUAUCGCCGCAAAUGUGAACUGGAAGUAAACAAGCGUCGCCAUCGGGAAAAAUGGCUCGUUCAUUUUGGUCUCCACGGUGCCGUUUGCGUAGUAGUGGGUGCUCUCCGGCACGGCGGCGCGUCCGGUAAGGUACUUCUGGCCAAGGGCAGGGGCGCCCUUUCCCCAGAAGGGUAAAAGCUCGUCACCGAAGGCGAUGCGGUAGCAGAGGAGAACCCAGCAGAUUAAGACGGCGGCGAAGGCGUAGAGGGCCAUGAAGGCGGAGUUAACAGCCCACUUUUUCUUGACGAUGCUGGCGUACAGUAUGACGAGACCAGGCAUCGACUGGAGACCCACGAGGGUAGACGCCGUCAUCUGCCAUGCGUUGUCCCCUUUGUUCAGCCAUUCUGGUACCGCCGGGAGCCGUUCUUGAUAUGCCAUUGAGCUCAGAUUAUCCAUCAGUGUAGAUGGAAAUAUUGGUACGUAGUAGUGGUAGGUUUGUGCGGUAAUAAAUACUACAUCAUCGCCAUUCGCCGCGGAGGAGGAACAAGAAUGUUUGAAGUCGUCUUUAGUCAAAAUUGCACGAUCAAGAAGCUUCGCGUGAUAUUAUUGGAAGUUUUCUUCUCAUUUACAUUUUUCUUUUAUUUUUAAUAAGUACAUGUAUUGAAUCUCAGUUAGUCCACACACGUUAUAGGCCUUUAAUUGGAUAAAAAAUAAAAUAAAAAAAAUACUCGGAUGCCAUUUGCAUUAUUCAACAGUAUCAAGACAAAUUUGCAAGUGUGGGGUCCAAUCCAAGGCUUUGUUAGAACUUAGAACAUACAUAUACAGCGGACUCGAAAGGUCUCCGUUAGCUUUUAAACAGCUGGAGUUAUUAUACAGAUACUCUGCAGGGCAUAAUAAUAAUAAUAAUAAUAAUAAUAAUAAAAUAGAGCAUGUGGUAUUAUUUAUUUAUUUAAGUUGUCAAUUGUCUGAUCUAACUAACCACCACUAAAUAGUUUCAGCCCAACUACACAUUAAAUUGGUCCAAUCCCAAUAAAAUUGGAAGCCCUAAAACAACCAUGAUCGACCCAAUCCUUCAAAUCUUAUCCAAAAAUAAAACCCAAUCCUUCAUUUUUUUUCCUUUCUUAUUUUAAUUGAUGCAAAGUACAGACCAUUUGCUAAUUAUGUGGUCCUAAUUUACCCAAAAAUCCAUUCCUCCAUUGCAUUUUUUUUCUUCUUCACCAUCAUCAUCAUCACGAACACCACCACCAUCAUCAUCAUCAUCAUCAUCAUCGCUUGUUGAUCGCUACUAUAUAUAUUAUUAAUAAUAAAACACACAAGAUAACACUCUCACAUCAAUAAUAAUAAUUAAUAUAUGAUAAACAUAUACAUGUGUGGAUAUAAAUAAUAGAGACAAGUAAACCGUCAGGUCGAGUCUCUCUCUCUCACACACACACAAUUUCACACACAGUCACACGCACACGCAGUAUAUGUGUGGUACUGCAAGUUGAUAUAUAGUACAAAAAUGUCCCAUACAUAAAUGUUUUAUUAUAUCGCCUCCACAAAUUAUCCAUAUCAAUAGAGGAAGAAUAAGUCUUUAGCUCACAGAGAAGACGCUAGAUCUUUCCUCUUUCUAUUAAGAAUUUACACCUCAAAAUAUGUUUUGGACGCACAAUAAAUAACAUAUAUACAUGUAUAUAUAUAAUAAGCAAUAUAUAUAUGUAUAUAUAUAUAUUGGGGCAUCAUAAUUUGAUUAACGAUAAAUAUCAUGGGAUUAAUAAUCUCAUCAAUAUCGCCAUCUCCAUCAGAAACAGUAGUACUAAAGGAAGACGGAGACGGCGAAUUUGCUCAUGAUGGAAAGAUAACAAUGGUGGUGCUUGUCUCUCUUUUAUCUGCUUUUCUUAUCUUCAUCCUUUUCUUUCAGUUUGUACGACGUCGCUUCUACUUGCCAAACGUAACUUAGUGGCUACUACUCUUGGCUACCGCUAGUAGAUCUGUAGUAGUGACUAGCUAGUGAGCAAAGGCGGCCUAAAUAUUUGCAAUUAUGCUCACAAUUUAACAUUAUUAAUUUAUAAGUUGAAUUUAUCUCUACUUAAUUAGUUUCUCCUUUUUUCCUUGCAUGUGUUUGUGGUGGUUUGAAUUGAUUGAGGGAGGUUUUACUGCAUUUUGUGGUCUAUAAUAAUUAAUCAUUAAACUAGACAAUAAUCUAUAAGGGUUGGACCGAAAUAGUUGGUUGUAUUUAAUUCGUCAUUACAAAUAAUCCUCAAGAUUAAUUAUGCAUCAUUCAUGAAUCUUGUUCUUUACUCAUAUUAAAAUGUGCCAACAUGUUUGAUUGGAAUACUUAUAACUAACAAGUUUUACCUCCGGAUAUAAUCCCUUCUCAUUAGAUUUAGAUCAAGCGAAUUCACUUGUCAUUAUUGGAGAUUUUUUACUUCAAGAUUGUACAAAUUUAUAAUGUAUUGUUGAGGCCCAUUAGCUCAGUUGGUUAGAUCGUCGUGCUAAUAACGCGAAGGUCGCAGGUUCGAGACCUGCAUGGGCCAUUUUUUUUUAUACAGAAUAUGGUAGCAAACAUUUAAUGGAGAUGCAUGGGCCAUUUCUUUUUUUUUUUUUACAGAAUAUGGUAGCAAACAUUUAACAUUUAAUGGAGAUGGAAAAGGGAAGAACAAGAAUAGCAUCUAUAUCCUGAUCAUGUAACUACAUGUCUUGAUGAUGCUAGGAAACAAUAUAAUAAGAUAUGAAGAACCUCAACAUCUCACUAAUAUAUAUUAUUAUAUAUAUAUAAUCGGAAUUCAUGGAGUCCUACGUACUAGCCUGUCUUGCAUUUUCAUUACAUUUUCAUUCAGCUUAAUUCUUAAGCCAAGGAGUCCUACUAGCCUGUCUUGCAUUUUCAUGACAAUUGUGUUAAGUACUUGUCUUCAUCAUCAUCAUCAUGACCUUGCAGAAUACUUAAUUGCCGUCUGAAUUAAUGAUCACCUCGUCAUCAGUACAUGCAUGUUGAUGAUUCUAUCUAUUAGGAAACUAUAUAUUUUAUUACAAGAUUAGGCAAGUAAAUAUAUUAGAAUAUUGUGUAAAUAUUUAUAGAGUAGUAAUUAGCCGUAAUUCUUGUAAUUAGCUAAUUUGUGGUGUCUCUGAGUGGCUAUAUUAUGCCAUAUCAACUAAUGAGAGAAACAAGCUUUUCCCAUAAUUUUAUUUUCUUGAUAAUAUGAUUUCAUCUAUUCUCUCUCUUAAUAUGGUACCAGAGCCUUAGGGCAUAUUUUUUUCUUUUUCCGCUGCUACUUCCUCAAAUUUUCUUCUUCUGCAUAUCUCAUAUUUCAAGUUAUGGCCAAAGAUGCAGAAAGCAAAUCUGACCUUAUCAAUCCUACAUCACCAUACUAUCUCCAUCCUUCCGCGAAUCCGGGUUCAGUACUAACCCAAAUUAAAUUAAAAGGUGAGAAUUACUCUUCUUGGGAACAGGCUGUUAAAUUAGCUUUAAGAUCUCAGAAUAAAAUCGGGUUUAUUGAUGGGUCUAUUUCUAAACCAAGUCCAACUGAUUCUCAAUUCGUCGCAUGGGAGAUUGUCAAUUCCAUGUUAUGUUCUUGGGUUGCAAAUUCAUUAGACGACCCCAUUCGGGCUACCGUCUCUCGUCUUACUGAUAUCAAAAUCUUGUGGGAUUGUCUCAAAACCCGUUACUCUGUAAAAAAUGGUCCAAAAGUUUAUAAAUUGUGGUCCGAUCUCACCAUUACAAAACAGUCGGGGUCAUCGAUUAUGUCUUAUUAUACUCAAUUUCUUGGUAUGUGGGAAAAUCUUGCAACUCUGUCGCCGCUAGAGUCUUGUCAAUGUGCAAAUGGUUCUCCAAUACUCAGUUGGUUUAACAAUCUCAAAACCUAUCAAUUCUUAAUGGGUUUGGAUGAGUCUUAUAAUACCUUACGGACCCAAAUCAUUAAUAUGGAGCCUCCUCUCCCUGAAAUCGAUCGGGUCUAUGCCAUGGUGAGCCAGGAGGAGAGCCACAAGUCAGCAUUCCAGCCGAGAGAGUCUGCUCCUGCCGUGGGGUUUUCGGUGCAAACGAAUCACCCAUCGUCAGCUCAAUCGGGUCUUUCACCUGCUCCACCCGGUGGUCGACCACACUGUACUCAUUGUCAAAGGUAUGGUCAUACCUAUGACCGCUGCUGGAACCGCCUCGGCAUAUCUCCCACACCCCUCCGAGGUAGAGGUCGCGGCAAAGGACGACAUCACUCUUCUACAGGUCGUGGACAAUCUUCCCCAAUGUUUGCUGCCUGUGGCGAUCUCAUCUGCUGCUGCAAAACGGACAAUAGAAUCUUAUGAUAUAUGGCACCGCCGGUUGGGUCACCCAUCAUCGAAGCCGAUGUCGUUUUUGAGUAUUAAUGGCAAUAAGGUGGAUUUUUCUGAUAAAAACUCUAUUUGUGAUAUUUGUUGUAGAGCCAAACAAACUCGCUCUAGUUUUUCUUUAAGUACUCAUUCUGCUACAAACAUUUUCGACUUGAUUCAUUGUGAUAUUUGGGGCCCCUAUCGAAAGUCUACCCAUUCUGGUGCUAAGUAUUUCCUUACAAUUAUCGAUGAUUUUAGUCGGGCAGUAUGGGUAUUUUUAAUGCAUGAAAAGAGUGAUGCCAGCCUCUUACUACAACAAUUUUGUUUUAUGGCCAAAACUCAAUUCAAUAAACUGAUCAAAACUAUUCGAAGCGAUAAUGGUAUGGAAUUUGUCUCAAACACCAUGACCUCGUUUUAUGCUCAACAUGGUAUUUUUCACCAAACUAGCAUAGUAGAUACCCCACAACAAAACGGUAGGGUCGAGCGAAAACAUCGCCAUAUUUUAAAUAUUGCUCGUGCCCUUCUUUUCCAAGCAUCACUUCCAAUAGAGUUUUGGGGGGAGUGUGUUCUUGCUGCUGGUCAUCUCAUUAACCGAACUCCUUCUCUUUUAUUGCAUGGCCUCACGCCACAUGAUAAAUUAUUCUCUCAAUCACCUUCCCUUAAUCAUCUUCGAGUCUUUGGGUGUUUAUGUUAUACUCAUUACAAAGAUCGGUCAAAAGAUAAAUUUUCUCCUCGAAGUCGUCAAUGUAUAUUCUUGGGAUAUCCUCAUGGUAAAAAGGGUUGGAAGGUCAUGGAUUUAGAAACCCACAAAAUGUUUGUUUCCCGAGAUGUCAUAUUUGAUGAGAAUGUUUUUCCUUUUGCUCAAACCAAUAUUCCAUCAACUGAAAUAUCCCCAAACUCCACUAACAUCAAUACUUGGUCCUGGAACACCUCUACGUUUGAAGAACAAAAUUUUGAGUGUGAAGAGUCAGGGGGAGCAGCCCCCAACAUUUCAUCAUUGUCAAAUGUUCCUGACGAGUCAUCCUCUUCUAAUUUGGAGACCCAAGAGGAAUCACAAUUAGCCACGAUCGAGCCAGCACUUGGUCGAGCUCAGCGAUCUCGUCGCCCGCCUUCCCAUCUUCGUGAUUAUGUGUGUCACACGGCUACAGUUGUACACCCCAAAUUGUCUCACCCCUCAUCCGGAUCCUCAGGUACGCGGUUUCCAUUAGCGAACUAUGUUACCUGUGAAAUUUUUUCUAAAUCUCAUUCUAAGUUUUUGGCUGCCAUAUCUGCCGGGAUAGAACCCCGUACGUUUUCUGAGGCUCUACAGGACCCAAACUGGAAGCUGGCUAUGCAAACAGAAAUUGAUGCUUUGGAACGCAAUGGCACUUGGAUCAUUUCCGAUCUUCCUUCCGGUAAGAAGCCCAUAGGUUGCAAAUGGGUCUUCAAAUUGAAAUAUAAUGCCGAUGGUUCUAUUGAGCGUCAUAAAGCUCGACUUGUUGUUCGAGGUGAUACCCAAGUUGAAGGAAUCGACUACGACGAGACUUUUGCUCCUGUUGCCAAACUAGUGAGUGUGCGACUCUUUCUUGCCGUUGCGGUCAUUAAAGGCUGGAAAAUUCAUCAGUUAGAUGUUAAUAAUGCCUUUCUCCACGGUGAUCUACAUGAAGAGGUCUAUAUGCGGCUCCCACCUGGAUAUACUUCUUCACGUCCAAACAAGGUUUGUCGCCUUCGAAAAUCUCUAUAUGGCCUUCGUCAAUCUCCACGCAACUGGUUUGCUAAGCUCACAAGUGCUCUUCGUCGUUAUGGGUUCAUUCAAUCUCAUGCCGACCAUACAUUAUUCACUUACCGGAGCAAUGGGAUUUUCCUUGCCGUUCUCGUAUAUGUUGAUGAUCUUAUUGUGGCAGGCAAUAAUUCUUCUGCAUGUUCUUCGUUCAAGCAAUAUUUGAACCAGUGUUUUCAGCUCAAAGAUCUCGGACCUCUAAAAUAUUUCCUUGGCAUUGAAGCUGCUCGAAACUCGUCCGGUCUUUUUCUAUGCCAACGGAAAUACACACUUGAUAUAUUGAAGGAAGCCGGUCUUACUGGUUCCAAACCAGCUGCAACUCCAAUGGAGCAAAACCACCGUCUAGCACAUGCAACAGGUCCUCUAUUACAUAAUCCGGAGAGAUACCGACGCCUCGUUGGCCGUUUGGUCUAUUUGUCCAUUACUCGGCCGGAUAUUUGUUACGCCGUGCAUAUUUUAACUCAGUUCUUACAUGAGCCUCGACAAGACCAUUUGGACGCUGUUCUUCGUGUUUUACGCUACUUGAAAGGUUCUCCGGGUCAAGGCAUACUUCUCCGCUCAGACAGCUCGCUACAACUAUAUGCUUUCUGUGAUUCUGACUGGGCUGCAUGUCCUCUUACUCGUCGCUCUCUCACCGCAUAUUUUGUACAACUCGGCUCGUCCCCAAUUUCUUGGAAAACCAAGAAACAACCCACUGUGGCUCGAUCAUCUGCUGAGGCCGAGUACCGCGCCAUGGCGGUUACAACGUGUGAAUUAACGUGGAUUAAGUCAUUUCUUUCCUCUUUGGGUGUCUUCCAUACACAACCAAUGAGAUUAUUUUGCGACAACCAGGUUGCCCUUCAUAUUUCCUCUAAUCCGGUGUUUCAUGAACGAACAAAGCACAUAGAAAUCGAUUGUCAUUAUGUGCGUGAACAAUUACUCGCCGGCAGCAUUUCAACGGCUUAUAUCCAAUCGUCUCAACAACCGGCUGAUAUCUUCACUAAGGCCCUUAGUCAACAACAAUUUCACUUGUUACUUGGCAAGUUGGGUGUUCGAAAUCCUCACUCUCCAACUUGAGGGGGAGUAUUAGGAAACUAUAUAUUUUAUUACAAGAUUAGGCAAGUAAAUAUAUUAGAAUAUUGUGUAAAUAUUUAUAGAGUAGUAAUUAGCCGUAAUUCUUGUAAUUAGCUAAUUUGUGGUGUCUCUGAGUGGCUAUAUUAUGCCAUAUCAACUAAUGAGAGAAACAAGCUUUUCCCAUAAUUUUAUUUUCUUGAUAAUAUGAUUUCAUCUAUUCUCUCUCUUAAUACUAUCCGAUCCCAAAAACCCUUCCUUUUCAACCCAAUCGUCGUAAUUUGGCCCCCCCGAUUUGUCCCAUGAUAAUUAGUACUAGCUUCAUCAUGGCCCCUCAAAAUUUUCUCCUUAAGGUGGCUUCUAGUCUUUCAACAAUAUUCUGUCUCACCACUUGCUUCCAUGCUGUACAAUUUCCUUACUUUUUCGAUCACAAACUUUGAUCUUCGAAGAUCCAAGUAUGAAAAUAUAUAUGGACUAGCUCAUGUUAACAAUCUGUACAAAGCUCAAAUAAUAACUAAUUUGAGCACUAGCUAGGACUUAAUUAAUUCCAUAGAAGCUCUCGAUCAAGAAUGAAACUGUAAUUACAUUUCUUUAUGAUUAACCUAAUUGCACAAGACAGGCCAAAAAAUACUCAUGAAUAUUAAUUAAACUAGCUAGUAUAAUAAUUCCAUCAUCAGCUAUCUUUGAGAAUGUUCAUGUAUAGUUAUGAGUAGAAUUAAUAAAUGAGGAUCGUAACCCUAAACACGUGAGAGCUAGGAAGAAGACAUACAGACACCCCCUCUCUCUGUCUCUCUCUCUCUCAAAUAAUUAAAAAUAAUAAUAAUAUUAAGUAAUAUUUGUAUGAGAUAUCUAAUAAUGGCAUCUUCUAUAUUGUUACAACUUAUAAAUAAAUUAGGUAGGUACAUAUCAAAAUAAAUUAAGGUGCAGUUUUUACAUACUUAAAAACUUAAUGUUCAACGUAACUGUACUAGUUUCAGUACUAUUGGUUUUUUUUAUUUGCAAAAAUACCCUUGUUUAAUCUCUAAUUGCAGAAACUUAAAAGAAAACAAAACAAGUAGUAAUAAGUAAUAACUCUUUGUAAAGAUUGACCAAAGAAACGUCCAACGUAUGAAGAAGUCAACGACCAACAGGACCUCUGUUUACAUUAAUGAAUUUAUAUGCAUGGGGUUGGGGUAUCUUAGGAACAUGUGUACUGUCUCGUCUGCCUAUUAAUACGGAUCUACCAUCAAUUUAAGAAUAAGCAUGUCUGUCGUUUUGUACAUACAUAUAUGAUUCCUCUUCUAUAUAUAUUAAUUAAUUAAUUAGUUAAUCCUAUCAUCAUCAACAAUGAAUUCUUAACUGUAUAUAUAGACAUUCUUGCCCAAUUGCCCAUGCCCCAUAUAUAUAUUUGCAUGUUGCUUUUAUUAUCUUUCUAUAUAUUUUGUUGGUUGAUGCCUGAUUUAUGUAUUCCAUGCACCUACCUUUCAAAGGAAAAUUAUAUACGAUCUUCACAUUAAUUCUAUUUUCAUUUUCACAAAUUGGCCUGGUAUUAAUUAUUAAUCAUUAUAAAUUUAAAAAAACUUAAAUUGAAAGAAAGUUUACUUUUCAAAUAUAUAUAAUAUAUAUACCUUUUCUUAAAUAAAUUAUUUUCACCUCAUCAUCAUCAAUACCCUUUCAUCUUUUAGUUAAUUGUUUAUAUUAAUCUUGCUAAGGUGGGCAGUUGUCACAUGGGUUUCUUUGAUCAAAAAUUUUUCGCCCGUCCGGCCUGAUUUGCCCACCAAAUCAGUCAGCCUUCCUCUCGAUUCUCUUCGUACAAAACGCACAAACACAAGUCUUUUAGCCAACGUAAACGAGAACAAAAGUAUGCAGCGGAAAACAACACACAAGCACGUUUACGGGCAAUGCCCAACAUUUAUAUUAGUUUCCAACAAAGAAUACAAAGGUGCACACACAAAAUCCUCACUCAGAAUGCCCACAAUUGCAAUCUGAACUCUCUAAUGCUAGAUGGGCAGUAUUUGUGCACUCAUAGCCAUAUAAAUACAAGAAAGAAUGUAGUUUUCACAUAAAACUACCUAAGGACACUUGGCAGCAUACUUGCUUGACACUUGGCUAACUAUUACAAGUAAUAAGGGGCAGUUUUUCAUGCUUUCCAGGCCUCAACUUGCUCCGCAACUUCCCUCAAAAUCGUCCAUAAGGCUGGUUUUCGAGGCCCAUCUUUGAUCGGGCGCGCGCGCGCGCACCGAACGGCCCAAAACAACCCGGCCGGUUGCUAGGCAGCCCACCUGCCUUGCCUUUUCGGCACAUUUUGCUCGCCUUGCCAAUUACUUGCCAGUUCUUUGCCCACACGGUCAUUAACACGCCCGCACAUCGGGCUGCCUUCCUUGACUUGCCAACCGGUCGUGCCAACUUGCCCACACUUGUCAAGUCGUGGUCGAUUUCCUUCGAACGCACGUUCGUUUGCCCAAGUUCUCGGCCACAUGCCGAUUACUGCCCACGCUUGUCCGCAUUCGCUGCCUAGCAACGCCGUGCCAACCAUAAGUACUUUCGAUCACCGUUCCCACUUCAAUCAAGCCGAUCCUUGCUUUCUCGGACAAACACCCCAAAUGCUUGCCCAACACUCGACCACUCAUUGGCCAAUUGUGUGGCUGUCUUGUGCCAACCCUUGCUUGGCACCAUUUCUCGGCCAUGACUCGGCCACACUGGAGUCAUAGCCGAUGUCACCGACUAAGGGGGUAACAGACCUCCCCCACCAACAGUGUUCGACGCCCUCGUCGAACCGACACCAUCAGCUUCAGCUUUCCCUCGUUUCCACUUAUCUUGCCACCGUCCUCGAUUGUGCUUGAUCCACAGCACCACAUCGAAAACCAAAUCCCAAGUCUGAUCCCACGAAUUUCCCACAAAUUCUUUCAGCCCUCGGAAAAUCGAACGCCAAUCGCGUUCAAACAACAACACCAUACCACAAGUGAAAAUGCUAGUUUUUGGCAUCACUAGCAUUUGAUCUCGAUUGUCACACCAAUCAAGAAAGGAGACCACCAACCCACGGAAAUCACCCAAACACGGCUUUCAUUUUCUCAACAACAGAAACCAGCCCAACAAAAAUCCAACACGCAACACAAAUUCAGAAGAUACCACAUUUCGAACCCGCGAAUUAUGCCACACACGACAGCAACUUGGAACAAAAGGAAGGCCGCAAUGCCCUUUCAUAAGCCCAACUAAAUACCUCAACUUGCCUUCGGCCUUUGUAUCAUUUCUCGGCAAUGCACGUACAAGCAAACGAGCCCGAGAAUUCACCGUUUUGUUUCCAACGACUGCAAUUAGGCUCGAUGACUCCUCGUCGUUCGAUUCUGCCUCCAAUUGCACCGCAACCAACAUUUCCACCGGUUUCUUUCCCGCUUUUGCUUUAGUCACGUACGAGCAUUCGACGAAGCAUGGACACUUUUCGUCCAUAAUCAUCAACCCUCCGAGAAAUGGUAUCACCGCAGCCUUGGCAGCAAGUAGGAACUCUUGCCCCAAUAUCACAUCGAAAUCAUCUAGUGGUACGACAGACAAUCCACACUGCCCUUUCCAAGAACCGAUCACUAAAUCAACAUCGGUUCUGCCCUUCACCGGCCCCGCCUCUGAAUUUACAGCCUUAACUUGACUUGUAUGUUUUGAGAGAGUCAAGCCCAGCUUCUUGACUUGCAUGUUUUGAGAUAGUCAAGCCCAGCUUCUUGACCUUUUCUUUCAGCAACGAAGUUAUGAGUUGCUCCCGAAUCAACCAUUGCCCUCACUUCCUUGCCAUUGAUCAGCACCGUGGCAUACAUCAAGCCCUUGGUGCCGUUGGGUGCCUUGUCCACGACCAAAGCACUCAACAACUGAAUCGGAUUUGCACGCCUCGUCUCAUCCGACUCUUCCUCACUAUCCGACUCCCGCAUCAAAGCGCCAACUGACGCAGAACGGAAGCACGAUAAAGAAUUAAUUUCUACGAAUUAAUCCUAUAGAACAAAAUAACAUUCGGAAUCCACCGAAAACUCUGGAAUCCACCAGAAAAAUAGAGAAAACUCUAAAUAUUUUAUUAAAAUUCGAAAUUCUUUUUAAAAUAAAGUCCUAAGGCAGCUAUUUAUACUAAAAAACUGAAAACCCUAAUUAAACUAAGUAAAUACUAAAAAUUACCAAAAAUGGCAAAAACGAGUUAAAAUCUGAUUCUAGUAGAUCUCGUAAUUUUGUGAACAACCCAAUUUACGGAAUCUUAAUCCGAUUUUUCUAUGAUUUGAUAUUAAUUUUCUAAAACUUGCAUAAAAUAGCAAAAACGAACUUUUAGGAGUCUAAACGACGUUGGAUUGCUGAAAUUUGACGUGAUUCACGAGCUUUGCUCAUGAGUUUUGUUCCUUGCGCCGUUUCACUUGAGAUAGAGUUCGUUUCGUACUCAAAUACAAUUUGAGUUCGAAGAAAACCCUUAUUUUUCAAUAAUUUCUUUCGAUAUUUCCACCAAUGCCCAUAAAUAACUCUUCUCCGAAUCAAGUAGUUAUUUUGCAAUUCGAAUCCAAUUUGACGUUCCUUAUCAAUUCAACUUGCUCCUCUUAGGAGAGUCCCUCAUCCGGUGGUUGCCAUCACAUAGAAAACAACCACGGUUUUGUUUGUUGACAACGGGUUGUCCACCGGAAUUGGCCUGCACCGUGGAUCCCUCGCCAUCACCGCUCUCUUUUUGCUUCCAAUUACGGCCACCCUUGCCACCGAACUUAUUUCCCUUGGACUUAUCCUUCUUCGAGCCUUCCUUAUCGGAAUCAUCGGGCCAUAUCACCUUGUAAUCGACAAGUCGAUCUGCUGCCGAAAUGGCACUUGGCAGAUCCUUCACGCCUUGUCUGCCGAAAUACGACGGUCCUUUUGAAGUGGUGUCAAAAGUUGGCCGAGUUGCCUAUCGGUUGAAGUUGCCGGACAGAUUGAAAGUGCAUCCUAUGUUUCAUGUGAGUUUCUUAAAUAAGUUCAACCAAGAUUUACUCGAUGAAAGUCGGAAGCAAACGAAGAGAGCCCCACCCGUGGUCCGAAAGGAAUUUGAGAGAGAAAUUCAGCAAAUUCUGGACCACAAGACCCAAGGUCAAAGCAAGAAGAACCGGCGGACUGAAUUUUUAAUACAUUGGAAAAAUUCAGAGGUGGUCGAUGCUACUUGGGAGAAUGCAGUGAAUCUGUGGCAGUUUGAAGACGAGUUGGCAAAGUAUUGGGAUAAUUUGAAGCGGGUGAACAGUUCGACGAGCGCGUCGAACACCGUUGGUGGGGGAGGUCUGUUACCCCCUUAGACGGUGAUAUCGACUAUAACUCGAGUGUGGCCGAGUUAUAGUUGAAAUGGUGCCAAGAAGUUUUGGCACAAGGCAAACUACACAUGGGCCAAACAGUGGCUGAGACUUGGGCAAGUAUUGAGGUGCUUGGCCGAGAAUUACAAGGCAAGGGUUUCGAGUGAUUGGCAAGCAUUGAGAUGCUUGGCCGAGAAAGGCAUGGCAAGUGUGGGCAAGGCAAGCGGGCUGAAUUGCACGCGUGCGGGCGGAUUCGAUCCUUGGGCAUGCGCGCGUGCCGAUUGGGCAAGCCGGGCAGCUAAUUGACUCGGGAAGUUAAGGAAGGCAGUUGCGGAGCGGUUGGCAUCAGCAAUGGCUUAGAAAACCGUCCAUUUAUGUUGUAUUAGUGAGCAAAGUGGCUGGCCUGCGUGCCGCCAUGUGUCCUUUGGCAGUUUAGUGUGUAGACUGCAUUGUAACUUGUAUUUAUAGGCCCUAGAGUGCACAAAUCCGACCCAUUCAGAUAGAGGGACUCAGAUUGCAAUUGUUAGCAUCUGUUGUGAGGAUUCUUUGUGUGCACCAAGGGCUUUCCUUGUAUUGUUCGUGAGUGAAUCAAUAAAGGUUGAGCGUUGCUCGUAAAUUGCUUGUGUUGUUCGAUUUCCGCUGCAUACUUGUGAUUGUUGCUGUUCAUUUGAUACAACGAUGGUGCCUUACGUUUGUGGGAAGAAUUAUUGAGUAGGCUGACUGAUUUAGUGCGUAAAUCAGGCCGUACGGUGUGAAAAUUUCGAUUAUAAGUUAACCCCUGUAACACCAGCCACAGUUGAAUAAUUUGAAUUUAAAACGUCAGAAAUUGUGAAAUCACAUAAUAAAGUAUUUAUUUAUAAACGAAAAAGAAAGGGUGAGGCCCAAAGAUAAAAGCCCAGGAAUGAGGAGAGGUAUGACACAAACAGCCCAGCCCAACUUAAAUGACUAAUCACGAGCAUUCAUUAUCCAUCAUCGCUACCUUUUCCUUUAAUGACCAACUCACGCGCCACCUGCCAAAAUGUUCAGCCAAUCAUAGAUUUGGCUAUUCUACGCGCGAACCAGAGAGCGUGAUGUUUCUCGAUAGGCCCGAAAACUACGGUCGGAAAUUGCAGAAUAUUGGAGCUUGGCAUUCCUUUCUCUUUUUUUUUUUCUUUUUUUCUUUUUAAUUUCAGCGGCUCUCCAUUUCUAACGGGUUUUUACGCACUUGUUACUUUUUUUUUUUCUUUUUCUUUUUGGGUAAAUAUUGGUACGCACUCUUUACACGCACUAAUUGCAUUAUUUCUCUGUAAAAAACAAGUCCAAUAAAAAAACAAUUUAUACAAACGAAUCUGUUGAUUGUUGAUAAAUAAAUAUAGAUAUAGAUCAUAUUUAGAGAGAAGAUAGAGAGAGUGGCCGUGCAAAUUAACGGGCACCACCCUCGAACACCAUCACCAUCAAAUUUCAUAAUUUUGAAUACUCAAUAAUAGGACAAUUUAUUUAAAAAAAAAAAACCUCCAUCCAUUUAUUGCUGAGAAGGAGAACAACUCAUCGCAGAACCGGCUCUUGUUUCCAAAAGCUUUCUCCUUUCUUGGUCAACGGGGGUGUUUGCAGGUAAAGAUUUGAUCUUUUUAUAUUUUUACCCAAUCCCACAGCAUUUCAUACAUUCCCCUUCUUCUUUUUUUUUUUUUUUUUUUUUUUUUUUUUUUUUUUUUUUGUGUGUGUGUGUAUGUCUUUGCAUAAUUAUUUAUAGGGUGGUGUUUUGAUUGAGGGAAGAUGCAGCAACAUUUAUUCAAUACAAUGCGUAGUUUGAAGAUGAUAGAUGGGUGCAAAGGAACCCAAGUGUACGCCCUUAAUCCCACGGCCAGCGGAGGUGGUGGAGCAGCCGGCGGUGGCGUGGGUGAGAAAUUCUUGCAGCAUUUGCAAGACCAUUUAAGGGUUAAUUCAAUUAGGUCGAAAUCUCAUCGGCGUUAUCAGAGUUUCUCUCAAACCAAUAAUGUGAAUCCAAGUGUUCUAGCGGAGGUUCUUGCAAUCUACGGGCUUCCCCAGUCGGAUCUCAUCGAACCCCAGAUUGAUCCGUCUCUCAAAUUUGUUGAUUUUGUGGGAAUUCUAGCCGAUGUUCAUACAAAGCUUGAGAAUUGCCCUGAAUUCGAGAGAUCAGGUGUGUAUAUGGAGCAAUGCGCAAUCUUCAGGGGAUUGCCUGACCCUAAAUUGUUUAGGAGGUGUCUUCGAUCAGCCAGGCAACACGCUGUCGAUGUGCAUUCAAAGGUUGUACUUUCAGCUUGGUUGAGAUUCGAGAGAAGGGAGGAUGAGCUGUUUGGUGUGUCAGCAAUGGAUUGUAGUGGUUGGAGUAUGGAAUGCCCCAAGACUUCAUUGGUAUCGGGGUACAAUCCCGAGUCUGCACAUGAUAUUUGUUCGUGUCAAAAUGGCUUGGAAAAAGACGGGGCUAUGGAAUCUGAUUUACAAGGCCAAGAAUGCUCGACUUCGAUUAGCUACAAUGAUGAUGAUGAAGAGGAUGAUUAUGAUAUGUGGUUCUGCAUUGGGGAUGAUGAGGUUAAAUGUAAUAGAUACAAGAUUGCUUCUCUCUCCAGACCGUUCAAAUCAAUGUUGUACGGUUCCUUCAUGGAAUCGAAAAAGGAGCGGAUAUAUUUUGCUCAGAACGGGAUUUCUGCCAAGGCGAUGAGAGCUGCAGAGGUGUUCAGCAGGAUUAAGAGCGUGGAUUCUUUCGAUCCAAAUGUUGUUUUUGAACUCCUGGUUUUGGCUAACAGGUUCUGCUGUGACGAAAUGAAAUCUGCGUGUGAUGCAUAUCUUGCAGCUCUGGUUGAUGAUAUGGAUAGUGCUGCACUGCUUGUUGAGCAUGGGCUUGAGGAGACUGCAUAUCUCCUUGUGGCAGCUUGCUUGCAGGUAUUUCUGAGGGAACUUCCAAGUUCGAUGCACAAUCCAAACGUGACUAGACUCUUCUGCAGUUCAGAGGCACGUGAAAGAUUAGCAUCGGUGGGGCAUGCUUCUUUUUUGCUCUACAGCUUUUUGAGCCAAAUAGCAAUGGAAGAAGAUAUAAAAUCUAACACAACAGUAAUGCUGUUGGAAAGGAUGGGGGAGUGUGCUACCGAGAAUUGGCAGAAGCAAUUAGCUUUCCACCAGUUGGGCUGUGUGAUGCUCGAAAGGAAAGAAUUUAAGGAUGCUCAGAAGUGGUUCGAGGCAGCUGUUGAAGCAGGUCAUGUUUAUUCGUUAGUUGGUGUGGCAAGAGCGAUAAACAAGCGGGGCCACAAGUACAAGGCGUACAAGAUGAUAAACUCCCUAAUUUCUGACUACAACCCCUCAGGGUGGAUGUAUCAGGAAAGAUCUCUGUACAGUAGUGGUAAAGAGAAAAUGAUGGAUCUUAAUACGGCUACCGAAAUGGACCCAACUCUCUCUUAUCCUUACAAGUACAGAGCUGUCUCGAUGAUGGAGGAUGACAAGAUUGGUGCUUCGAUAUCCGAGAUUAACAAGAUAAUUGGUUUCAAGGUCUCCCCAGACUGCCUUGAGCUGCGUGCUUGGUUCUUGAUUUCAUUAGAGGACUAUGAAGGAGCUCUGACAGAUGUUCGGGCACUUCUAACAUUGGACCCUCAGUACAUGAUGUUUCAUGGUAAAUUGCACGGCGAUCAGUUGGUGGAGAUUCUACGCCACCAUGUGCAGCAGUGUAAUCAAGCUGAUUGUUGGAUGCAGCUAUAUGAUAGGUGGUCUUCGGUAGAUGAUAUUGGCUCUUUAGCUGUUGUGCACCAUAUGUUGGCUAAUGAUCCUGGGAAGAGCCUUUUAAGGUUUCGGCAAUCUCUCCUCUUACUGCGGCAAGUGUACUUUUUAUCAUGUUUUUUAAGUUUUCAAUUUCAAUUAAUUGCAUCAAACUGCUGUAAAUAAUUAACUUGUGUGUACCGGGGUACAGAUUAAACUGCCACAAGGCUGCUAUGAGAAGUCUGAGGAUGGCUAGAAAUCACGCAGCGUCUGAGCAUGAAAGACUUAUCUACGAAGGAUGGAUUUUGUACGACACUGGUUAUCGUGAAGAAGCAAUAGCAAAAGCUGAAGAAUCCAUCUCAAUCCAGAGAUCAUUCGAAGCAUUUUUCCUAAAAGCGUAUGUUCUGUCUGAAACAACAACGGAUCAUGAGUCAUCAUUCUAUGUUAUCCAACUCCUCGAGGAUGCUCUCAGGUGCCCGUCUGAUGGUCUUAGGAAAGGACAAGUAAGUGUUAAUCUUCUAAAAGACUGUUGGUAUGCCCUCGUUUGUUAAAUAUUGACAUGAUGUGAUCGAUUAUCGCAGGCUUUAAGCAAUCUAGCAAGUAUAUAUGUAGAUGUGGAGAAACUAGAUCAUGCAGUUGACUGCUACAUGAAUGCCCUAAACAUUAAGCAUACACGGGCACAUCAGGGGCUGGCCCGUGUUUACCACCUGAAAAAUCUAAGGAAAGCUGCAUAUGAUGAGAUGACCAAGUUGAUCGACAAGGCAAGAUACAAUGCAUCGGCUUAUGAGAAACGUUCUGAAUAUUGUGACCGUGAAAUGGCCAAAAGUGACCUUAGCAUGGCAACCCGAUUGGAUCCUUUAAGGACAUAUCCUUACCGAUACCGGGCUGCCGGUAAGUCUUUCACCUUUUCCUUUUUUUCCCACUUAAUGAGCAAUGAAUGGUAAACAAAAGUUGCACUUUGAUGUUAUUUGGCUAGAUUGGUAUGGAUUAUGUAUGAUAAGAUGUACCAUAACAGAGGAAAUAUUGCAAAAUCUUCAAGUACCAUCCAUAACAACUUAGUAUCUAUCUCCAGAGGGUGUUACAUUUUAGGUAGACAUUGAAUCUAAAUUUAGACCAAAAAAGGCUAACAAAUAAUAAUGUGUUUCAGUAUUGAUGGAUGACCACAAGGAAGCUGAAGCAAUAACAGAGCUGACAAAAGCAAUAGCAUUCAAGCCGGACCUGCAGCUGCUUCAUCUUCGUGCAGCAUUCCAUGAUUCAAUGGGUGAUUACUCAGCCACACUCAGAGACUGUGAGGCAGCCCUUUGUCUUGAUCCUAAACACACUGACACUAUUGAACUUCAUCAAAAAGCACAAAAACGGGCCGACGAACAACCUAAGUGAUAAACAGAGAGCAAUAUUUGGUGGUGGAGGAUACUUUUAGUAUUCUUGUGCAGCUAUAUUUUUAUCAGCUGUUGCCAUUUUAUUGCACGACUCUCUCGGAGAUAGAUGGAUCCAUUUUCUCCUCUGAGCUUUGCUCUUAGAACCAUUGUGCUUGGACUGGUCAUCAAUGAUCAUCUGCCAAAACCAAUUAGGUGAAAUUGUAAAAAAAAAAAACGAAGGGGGAAGAGAAGAAAAAGCUGAUGAUGCCCUGUGAACCCAUUAUACACACUUCUUUUUUAUUUUUGUUUAUUUUUGUUUAUUUUUAUUUUUUUCGUUUUCUUGGCAAUGGUAAAUGGAUGAGCACACGUGGCAUUCAGUAAAAACUGAUGAUACUAAAUUUAUGUUUCAUUUGAAAGCAAGUGAUUCACCACCUUUUAGAAGUAAAUAUGUAGAUUGAAUUACAAACUGUGAUCAGACUAUCUAUUUCUUGUGUUUUCCUCCUGGUUGACUUUUUUUCUUCUGUUUUCUAAAAGUUUGUUUAUAUACAACAUUUCUUGUUUUGUUUAUUUCUCUUACACUGAUAUAUGUAUCAUGUAUGUAUUAUGAGAAUUGGAUACAGCAACAAGCUUUUUUGCAGUUAGAAAGACAACUUUUAGCAGAGUAAGUCCACGAGAUAUCCACCAAUUACAACUGUCCAGUCUGCAGCUAGCUACUUUCUUAAAGUUUCCUAUACUUAUUAAUGAAUCAUUCAAACAAAUCCUAUCAUAUUAUACUUGACCACAAAAAAUAAGUGUUAUUUCUGCCCACAUGGAGGAAAACAAGAAGCAAAUUCUACAGGGGCAGCGCCCCCAAAAGCUGAACUUGAAUGCUCCCCUUCUAUCAACUAGGCGCCCCUUUUCUUUGCAUGAAACCACCACCACCACCUCCUCCUCAAACUACACUACCAAUAUGGUUCCGUUUUCUUGGGAAAGAAUCGCCGGUGAGCCUAAAGACAAGGAAACAAGUGACGACAGUAUUGAGCCACCGCCACCUCCACCUCCAAAACUUCCACCAGGGCGGUGGCAGCCUCCUGUUGUGGAAGAGGUUAACGGUGCAACGGACCAUGCCUUUGAUGGAUGCUAUGAUGUUGAUGAAGAAGAAUAUGGCCAUAGUGACAUUUUCUCAUUGGCUGAAUCAAUAGUUAAUGACGUUGAAGUAAAUUGCGCAACGACAAAUGACAGAAGCUCAACUAUACUUGAUGGAUACUGUCAUUCACCGAAUUUCAUCAUACAGAGAUUUCUUCCGGAUGCACAGGCCUUAGCUGAAGCGUCUGUUGUAAAUAAGAAAGUUCCGUUUUCGACAUCUCCACACGCUAAUGGUUCUUUGUCUAGAGCUGUUAGCAUCAAUAGGAGAUCGUACCAUUCGCCAAAGGGAUGUGGAUUAGGUGGUUUGUUUCCAUGGAAAAUGAAGGCUAAACCGUGUAGUGUUAAGAGCCCUGUUUGUGAUACAAUCAUAGGAACCAAUCCAAAACAUAAUCGCUAGCUGAUCCCAUUAUUUGAUUCUCUAUAUAAAGUUAGAAUUGCCAAUGACAUGUAUAUAUCAUUUUAUCUUUAUUUCACAAACUUAUAUAGAUAUCCUUUUAUUUAUCUAUAAUCUCAUUUAUUUUAUCAGGUCUAGCUAAAAGUUAACAUGUUACAAGCUAGGCUAAUUUGGAAGGAAACUUCUUGUCAAACGUAUAAAAACGUUGUUUAUAUUAUUUCAGUUCCAUUGUCGAUGUAUUCCUUUGCCCCAUCCCAUGGAUGAUCAGUUUAUCGAAAACUCUCAUUUUUUAUUUUGCAAUUUAAUUAAUAUUACAAUUCAUAUUGCAAUAUUUUUUUUUGAUGAGAAUUCAUAUUGCAAUAUAAUCUAUACAUUAUUAUUAUAAUUAUUAUUUUUGAUAGAAUAUAAUCUAUACAUGAUCAGCUAAUAUAAAGAUUAGUAAUAAAGAUAGAAUGUCCUUCCUAUAUAUAUGCUUGCCGUCAUUAAAGUAUUUAGAAGCAAUUAACGUUCGACAAUUUAAUUUAAUGGUAAUCAUGUAUCUACCUACCGGAUUCAAAAGAAGCAGAAGAUAUUGUCCCUACAGAAGAUGAUGCAAAUGUUGCAGCUCCUGUAGUAGUAGUAAUGCUAUCACUAUCAGCACUUAAUGCUAAUGCCAAGAAUCUUGAAGUAACUUGAUCAAGUCUUCUCGAUCCAGCUGAGCUCAACUGAUCAAACAAGGGCAUAACUUCGUCUCCGUUGAGAUAUUUAAUCACUUGUCUCAUUGUAGGCCUUGCCUCUGGCUUUGGGUGUGAACAAAGAAGCCCUAAUCCCAGCACCAACUCCAUCUCUUCACUCGCAUACAUAGAUGAGUUCAAUUUAGGAUCAACUGCAUCAAAAAUAUUCCCCAUUUGCAUACACUCUGCCACCCAAUCCACCAAGAUUACAUUGCGGGCAGCCUCAUAAACGACUGGGGCCCGCCCGCAGGCCAACUCAAGCAGGAGAAUCCCAUAAGCAAAGACAUCAGUGCCCUUGGAAGCCUUACCUAUUCGAGACAACUCGGGUGCAAUGUAGCCUAUUGUGCCCACAACGUUUGUGGUGUGUGAGGCUUUCCCAUGGUCGUAUAAUCUUGCAAGCCCGAAAUCUCCUAAUUUGGGGUUCAUUUCGUGGUCGAUCAAAACAUUGCUCGACUUGACAUCACGGUGAAUGACAACUUGCUCCCACUCCUCGUGCAAGUACAAGAGCCCAGAUGCAACACCUUUGACAAUGUUGAAUCUCUGAUCCCAAGUGAGCAGUAAAUUGGGGUUGGAAUGGGUGUAGAGUAGAGAAUCGAGACUUCCGUUGGAGACAUAUUCAUAGACGAGGAUGAGGUCGUUGUUGUGCUUGCACCAUCCUUGAAGAUUGACCAAGUUCUUGUGCCUUAAUCUACCAAGGCUCUCGAUUUCUGCAGCGAAUUCCCUCAUCCCUUGGAGUGGAUUGUUGGACAUGAUCUUUUUAACUGCAACCUCAGCCCCAGUGGAAGGUAAAACACCCUUGUAAACCGCUCCGAAUCCGCCAGAUCCAAUUUUCUCAGUUUCAUUAAAUCCCUUAGUGGCCUUGUGAAGAUCCCUGUAACGGAAUCUGUGAGGACAGUCCAACUCCCAAUCCUCCAUCACCUCAAGCUUCAUCACUUUCCGGUAAAACACUGUGAAUAAGAGUGAGACUAACAGGACGAAGAGGAUAACAGAAAACGUGGCAAUAAGUGCCUUUUUCAAGUCAACGUCAAUGGAGCUAGAAGGCAAUAUCUUGUCAGGUAUAACAGGAAGCUGGGAUAGAUCGAGUGGAUCGGCUGUCCCGUUAAGACGAAAACUCCAUCCCAAGAUGUAAUGAUAGCUUGAUACCUGUCCUGUGGCGGCAGAGAAACCAGCGUACAUGGUAUCCAGGAGUACAUCGGACAAAUCGAUUUCCCCGGUGAUCAAAGGUCGAAGUGGCUUAGGAACAACGCGUAGAGGAGAAACAGUUACAUUGACAAGUUUAGUGAAAGCAUCGUAGUCAAUCCAUGCCUGGACCGGACCAUAAUUCUCCAAAGGAAAAUCCUCGUUCUUGGCUCGGGUACCAUCAACAGAAUAAGAUGCUGGUUGAUGAAAAGUGGAGUUCAUUCCAUUGAUGUUGAUCCCAACAUGAUUCCCGUCUGUGUCUGAGGUGUCGUUGUAACCAUUAACAGUGUCGAAUUCGACCAUGAAAAUGUGUUUGGAAGGAGUGUAUCUGUUGGAUUCAUUGAAUACACCCAAGUAAUGGCCGGGGGAUGCACCUGGGAAACUUGUGGAGGGGGAUAGAGUGAAGGCUAGGCCAUAACCACCCCGGUUAGAGGUGGAGGGUACUAUUUGGAAUACAAAAUAUGUGCUGAAAGAGGUUGAAUUAAUUGAUAAUAUGGGAAUUGGUGUAGGAUGAAAUGCAUGGCCGAUGACGUUUUCUGAAUUGUUGGUGAGCCUGAGUGCUCCGCUGGGUUUGAUAACUGUGGCUCCUGCUUCUACCAUAUUUGAGUCGUUGAAUCCAUUGUACACGAAUUCAAACGAUUCAGAUAACAAUAAAAGGUUGCACAUCAUCAACAACGCAGUAGCAGUAGCAGUAGCAGCCAUAUAUGGAUGGCUAACUAGGGAAUUAAUUAAUAUGGAUGGAUACCUACUAAAUUCCUGGGGAGCUAGCUUUCUUGUGAUAUAAAUUAUAAUUGGUGGGGGAGAGAGAGAAUAUAGAUAUGAAAAAGUUGAAUAGUUGACUGUCAACGCGUAUAAAAUAUAAUUGGCAUAGUGGCAAUGCCAUUGAAAAUGGGGCAACGAAAAUUGGAGCUACUCAUUAUGGGAGAGUUGAGUCACUGUCUGUACACUGCCCACAUCCAAAUAAACUACCUACAAGUUUGAACUGUUGCCUUUUCUAGAAAUUGUAGCUUGACUUUGACUUUAUUCCCUAACAACCCCUUUAUUUAUAACCUUUAUUAUCCUCUAAUCAUGUUAAUUAGUCUUUUUUACAAGAGUUUACUUACACAUUCAUUAUUAUGGCAUGAUUAAGAUAGUCAUCAGUAUAAGUUGAAAGCAGUUAAUUUGUGAUUAAUCAAAUGAUUGGCUAUUCUUAAAUACCUACACAAUGAUCAUCAUAAUUCACCAUUGAAAUACAUAAUAAUUAAUACUUUAUUUUGUUGACUUGUUAUUUCCAACUAUAUAUAUAUAUAUACAUUUUGUCUUUUCUUUUAAACCACACAUUUCUUUUUUAAAUUUAUUUCUUUUUCAUUUUUCCUUUUGUUGGAGAAUUAUUUGAGCUUCAACUUCCAAGUUUGUUGUUUGACGCGUGAGGAAGAAGAGUUCCUGUUGAACAAGUUUCCAUUGUUUCAAGUCUGUGUAAUGUAAUGUGGAUCCACUUCCACCGGGUCAGACUCAGUCCCGUUCCGGGUUGGGUUAGGAGAAAAAGUCAACAAUGGAAGGCCGCGGGAAAAGGAAGCUAAAGUGAUGGGCUUACCUUAUAAGUGAGUGCCCAAAACAAAACAAAAAACGUCGACAGCAGGAUUCGAACCUGCGCAGGCAAAGCCCAACAGAUUUCGAGUCUGUCUCCUUAACCACUCGGACAUAUCGACUGAUGAUGACAUUAAGUUCGACUAAUACAUAAUGUUGUUUUUCAGUCCUUUAAGUAAUAAAUGUGGAAUCCAACCAACAUCUGAUUACACAUCAUCAAGCCAUAUGAUAUGAUUGAUGCAUGCAACUAGAAAUCAGCUGCUAGCCUGCUACUGAUGCAGAAUUAAACUCACUGCAUCAAAGAAAGAGUUGGACUAAUUAAUUAGAUUGGAUCGGAGGAGAUGAGUACGUAGUUGUAAAUUAAAUAGUUGGAACUUAGCUUGGAAGAUGAUAAACUUGUCACAAGUCUAGAUUAUGCCAUGUAUGUUGGUUUUUCCAUUUAACUAAUAGAUUAACACAUCGGCCAACACGAAGCUGUAUAUAUAGUUACUAAUUCUUACAUAUAUGGAAUAUGUUUUGAAACAUAUCAAGUGCACAUCGCAAUAUUGAAACUAAUACAUAUAUAUGAUCGAUCAUUAAUAUAAUAGAACUAUAUUAUUAUUAUUAUUGUUAUUAGGGAGUACUUCAAAUUUUGUAUUCAUUCCAAAACAAGCGUCCCCGAUUCAUUAAUAAGUAGUCUUAGGGAUUGGUAACUUGGGGUGUAGAAAUUGGUGCUGCUUCAGAUGAGUUGAUGGUUAAAGAGGUAGAAAUAGUAGAUGAUUUGCAAGCAUUUGGCUUCUUAUAUCCUCCUCUGUAUGCUUUGCAAAUGUAGCCUACAAAAUUCUGAUAAUCCUGCAUAUAUCAAACAAAACAAAAUAAAUUCGAUCCCCUUACAUGCAUUUAUAUAUAGUAUGUGUAAUUAAUUUGAGAUGGAUGGAUCGGAGCUGGGGGACUGACUUGUUGAAGAGGAAAAUUGUUGACAAGCACCCAUGGCACAAAUUUGUGUCUUGGAUUCAGAUUAGCCGUUUCAUCAGCAUAUGUUUUCUCAAGCUGCGGUAUGGUACAUUAAUCAACAAUUAACAAGUUUUAGAGGAGAUAAUAUAUAUAUAAUGAAAAAUCAUGGUAACUCAGGUGAGGCCUAAUUAUAAUGGCUAAUUAAUAUGAACAAUCCUAAUAAAUCGGAAAAUAAACGAACCUGAUAUCCGAGGCCGUUAUUGUAGCAAUUAUCAAGGGGUUUAGGAUCAAAACCAUUUGAAGCAAAACAAGAUUGCCACUGGGUGUGCUUGUUCAUCAAAUGCAGUCUCUCUACGCAGUAUAUGAACCUGAAAUGAGUCUCCUGCAACAAACAUUUUUAAAUAAAAAUAAAAUAAAAAAUAUAUAUAGGCACUGUUAAUAUCUAUCACCUACCACUUGAGGCCACUCAUUUAUUGCACAUGCUUCUGUAACAUCCAGCUUACACUCGUCUAUACCAUGCUGCCGAAAUAUUGUUAACACAAAAAACCAUCAAAUAUAUAUUAUUUGAUGAUUAAAAGAAAGAAAAAAAAAAACAGGGGAAAUGAAACCUGGCAAAUCCAGGUAUCGUUGGGCUGAAUUUGAGUGUUGCCCCAGGGGAUUAGCCUGAGAUUGACAAUGUUGAUGAGAUCUGUCUGAAAAAUGUUGACGAGAUGGUUGACUAUGAAGUUUGCACAAUAUGGGCACAGAGAUUCAUAGUAGACAGAGAGAUUAACCCUGUUUGAAAUGUCGGAGAAGGGAUCAUGAUUAUCAGUUUCCAUAAUACGGGCAGCAGAUGCAUGAUGAUGAUGAUGAUGAGGUGGUUGUGAUAUUAUGAACAAAACCAGAAAUACAGAUAUUAAGACAGUUAGAGUACUGCUGCUGAAACUAUGGAGUUGUCUUUCAGAAGACAUCAUCAUUUCCUUUUUUAAAAGUAACACUCUCUCUCUCUUUCUGUGUAUCUGUGUUUUUAUAUAUGGUGGGUGGGUGUGGGUGUGGGUGUGUGUGUAAUGAGUAAUGUGUAUUAUGGAUGGCAUCAAGCAACGGUGUGGCUAUUAAGUAGUGAUCACUCAACUUGAAUGGCUUUUUCUUUUUCAGAUGGCUUUCACUUUAAUGCAAUUUGCCACCUUCUCACCAUAAUUAACUACUAAACGGAGUACUAGUACUACAGACUACUGUUCAAUCAAUGCUCAUCUUCUCUCUCUCUCCCCCACCCUAUCUCUCUCUCUCUAAAUAAAUUUACAUUUAAAUUGGGGUUGUGGUUGGUGAAUUGAUGUAGUGGACAUUAAUUAAUGGAGAGUUUGACUGGGCUAAGAAGUAAAAGCCCAUUGUUGUGGUGGCCCAUUAACUGAGCCCAUCACUCUUUCCAUUGUUGUAUACUCAUCACUCCCUUAAUCCCAUUAUUUCUCACUCCCACUCCACUGAACUCAAGGAAGGUAAAAAACUUGUGUGUCUCCUAUGGCUUCGAUUAAUUUCAAUCCCUUCAACGACAACUGGUUUAGAAACCCACCUAAGCUUCCCUUCCAAAUCCAAAUCCAAUCAAUCAACCUCCUCUCCUCUUUCUUUAACCCCGCUCCUUCUUCUCAAACCCCCAAUUUCGCUUCCAUUUCUAAUCCCUUUUCCAAGAAACCAAAUUCUGACCCCGAUAAAAAACCUGGCAAGUACCGCCAAAUGCUCGACCAAUUCUACUGGGAGUGCGAAAACUUACCAGAUUACCGACACGCCCCUGAGGUCGAGAGGAUUUUGCAGGAAGACCCUAUUGCCGAAAAGAAGGAAAACCCCACCCAGGAGGAAAUUGAAGAGAACGAGCAAUGGUGGGCUGACUUUCGUAGUAACCCAGUUGUGCAGUUUUUGACCCGCGCCGAGGAGAUCGCUGAUAAGCUCAAUGAGAUUGAACUUCAGGAGAAUUCUGUUCCCUACCGGAAAGAAGAUAAGAAACUCUGGCAGGUAUUCUUUUCCUCGGACUGUUUUUUAAACUUGUCUAGUGGUCUAUCUUCUUCUAGAAAAUUGGAGUUUGAGUUUUACUACUUGUCUAAUUAAUUCUGUGAAGGCAGUGCCGAAUAUAAUGGGGCUGGAUGGGAGGCCAAUGCCAAGGAAAGCUAUAAAAACGAAGAGGGAAUCGGAUGAUAAGUUUUGGGAUUUUGCAAGGCAGUUCUUUUUUGGUCUUUGGGGGUUCAGGCAGCGGCCCUACCCACCCGGUAGGCCUAUUGAUGUCUCCCAGGCUAUUGGUUAUAAGAAACUUGAGAACCGUUAUUACGACUGUAAGUUCACUAUACCUUUCAGGUUCCGAAUUACUAUGUUUCUUCUUAUUACACUAGUAUAGGAAAAUGUUUCUUCUUUUCGUAUUGAAAAGUUACAAAAUAUAUUCUUGUAGAUUCUUAUGGAUGUUGGUUUUACAAUAUUAUGGUGUUAAAUGAAUUGUCCAAAUUCCCAUGUUGACUGAAUUGACACAUUGAUUUUGGCAAUAUAAAUCAUUUGAUAUAGAAAAUUGGUUUUAUGAUAGUUGUGAUGAGAAGUGGUGGGUGGUUCUACAAGGAUAGAUUGGGUCGUUCAAGAGGACCAAUGGAAUUAAUACAGCUGAAAACAGCUUGGGGUGCUGGAAUAAUUGACAAGCAUACAUUUAUAUGGGGUGAUGACUUGGAUGAAUGGGCACCUAUUAGCAUGGUGUAUGGUAUGGAGCGUGCUAUUGCCACUUGGGAAGGUUUGUAUUUACUGCAACGUGUUGAUAACCCUAGUCUAGUUAGUUCCCCUGUAAUAAAAAUGAAUGGGUGGUUUGGGGUUUUCAGUUAGGUUAGGUGCAGCAGCGACAGCAUGUCUGCAUAAACUGCAGAAAGGAAUAGCACCAUGGGUACCUCUGAAGGGGCAUGAGGUGAAAACAUAUAAGCAGGUACAGGAAGAGGCGUACGAGAGCAAAAGACGUGACUUAGCAGUUCUUGAGGCGAAUGAUGGUGUUUGGCCAGGUAUGAGGACUCCUAGUCAUGCACUGUUUCUAUGGGCAAGUGGAUCUGAGUUGACGACACUUUUAGAAGAGGACCACAUGCCCAACAAAUUCAUCCCAAAAGAUCUAAGGGUGCAACUUCAAAAAGUAAUACCUGGGUUGAGACCGUGGGAGGUUCUCAGCAUUGAACAAGCUAUGGAUAGGAUAACGUAUGGUGGUAAAUGGUACCGUGAACCUCUUGGUAGUUACACUACCGGCCCUCCUUACAUUGCCGAAUGGAACAAAGAUGUCAUGGUAUGUAUUUAUGUCUGUUCGUCUAGAUUGUAAAUUCUCCCUCGGAAAUUACAAACAUGUUUUGUAAAAUUGUUUGGUGGUUGUUUGCAGAGACUGUUUGAGAUAUUCCAUAGCCUGAGUGUUCAAACAUACAACAAACUGGAGAAGACAAUUCCAGGUUUCGACAAGAUUAUGGACAAAGUACAAGAAGAUGCUGCUCAAAGGGCUGCCUCUAGGGAGGCAAUCAGGGCCGCCGAAAAGAUGUCUGGGAAGAAGAAGACCAUUCCUGACCGAGAUCGAAGCAAUUUAAAGCAGCUCUAGCUCUAGCUCUAGCUCUAGCUGCUGCUGCUCAACUUUUUUUUUUUUUUUGGUUGCUUCAGGGCAUGCUUUAUUUCUCUGAAAUAGUUUUGGCUCAAGAAUUCCUUCAAACUGAUCAUUAUAUGACGUGUCAUUAGAAUUUUUGAAUUUAUUGUUGACUUGUUGGUUACUUAUUUAGCAGAAGAUCCACAUCCACUGAGAGCAUUAAAAUAUCCAUGUACAUAAUUUAGCAAUUCUAGUAACCGACUUAUCAGAUAAGUAACCGACUUGUCAGAAGAGGAGACAAUUGCACAUGCAUGCAUCUUAUUGGAUACUCUAGCUACUCUCCGUUCAGUGUUGAGUGUGAUUAAAAAUAUAAAGGACACGUGGAACACUCCCCGAUGCAAGGGUCUUUAUAUAAAGGACGUUUGUCCGAGAUGCAUUAAUAAUAGCAAAAGAUCGAUAGAUAGAUAGAUAGAUAGAUAGAUAGAUAUAUAGAUAUAUAGAUAUCAAAACAUAAAGAAAGAGAUAUCUCUGUUAAUUAAUCCGGAGGAGAUGGAAGAUGAUGGUGUAACAGAGUUUAAAGAGUUGUUGGUUUUGGAUAUUCCAGCAGGUGAUCAAGAUGGGAAGGAGGACAUAGGUUGUGAUGCCGAUGCCGAUGCCGCUGCCGGAAAAAGUGAAGAUAAUUCAAGCGGUGGUGGCGGGAUGUUAAGUGAGUUGAUCUGUGCAUUGGUUUCAAGAGAUGACAUCGGAGAAAAGGAAGAAGAAGCAGAAGAGGAGAGUAAUAAUAAUAAUAAUAAUAACAAUUUGGUUUCUGAAAUAUUACAUCAAAGUGGAGGCGGAGAACAUAAUGAACAUGAUGAAGACGAUGGAAAUGAGUCACAAUUAGGUUUAAUUGAUACUAUUAUCUCUCACUUGCCUUCACCUCUUGAUGGUAUGCAUCUACCUAAUUUCUUCCUCCUACAUUAUUUAAUUAAUUUAUCAUAAUCAUAUAUAUAUAUAUAUAUAUAUAUAUAUAUUCUUGGCGCUGGGCUUGAUUUUGUUUUUUGUUGAACAUACAUAACAGAUGAUGCUGCUCCAGCUUCAGACGAAGCUUGUAUUUUAAUCCAUUCUAUUGUUCACGAUUAGCAUCACUUUUCUUCUUCUUUUUUUUUUUUUUUCCCCUUUUCCCCUUUUAUUUUUCCUUUUAUUUUUUUUUUUUUGUGAGAAAAAUAUAAAUAAAUAAAAUAUGAGGAGCAGUAAGUAUGAAGAUAUUGUCUGAAGGCCCAGUUCUGUUCGGCCCAAAUAAGAUAUCCAAGUAAGGCGGUUCUGUUCGGCCCGGCCCAUUAUUAAUGGGCAGACAGUUGAAGCCCAAAACGAAACAACGUUUGAUGAUGAUGAUGAUGUGUCUCUGAGUUGGUAAUUAAUGAACUAAUUAUUACAAAUAAAUUUAGUCAAAAAUCACAAGAAAGAUAAUUGUUUUGUUGUUGGUAACAUAAUUCAUUACAAUAAUCUCUACCGUUAAAGCAUAUAUCGUAUCUUCUUCUUACUGAACAACAGUUGUCCCUUUUUAAUUAGGUAAACCCACUGACAUAAGAAUCAACCAACCCUUUGACACAAGUGACAAGACUAUUUAUAUACUAAUAAUUAUCUUUGCUCCUGCUCGAUCGAAAUGUGUGUGUCUCUUUCUUUUUUUUCUUCCUUCUCCAAAUUUAUUUAUUUAGUUAAUACGUCUGAAUAUUUAAUUAAUUAUUAAUAUAAAUAGAGACAUGCAUGAGAUAAUUUAUUUAAUUGCAUGCAGAUCAUAAAAGAGAGGGGUUGGUUAGUUUAAUUUGUACAAGGAGAUGGAGGAUUCAUGUGGAGGAUAUGCAGAUAUGAUGGUACACUCUUCAACUACACCUAUUCUCCACAACACCAUGGAUCAACCCUUUGAAUUUUUGUGCCUAAUCUCUUUUUAUCUAUUUAUUCCUUUAUUAUUAUAUUCAUUCAUUUUUUUUCUUAGAGGGGAAAUUAAAUAAUAUUUUUUAAAGAAUGAAAUCCUCUACCAUGCUGAAAUGUUUGAUCAUUUAUAAAUAUUAUUAAUUAUAUUAUUGAAUCAUGGAAUGGAACUAGUACUUACGUUAAGAUUAAACUAGAGCCAUCUAUCUCAUUCCGGUUUAAUCAUCUUGAUAAUCUUUUGAUUUUUGUCAUCUCUGCCUCUUUAUUCGACACUAAAAUAGAAUAAAGUGAAAUAUAAAUUGAUGUUUUAAUAAAAAAGAAACAGAGGAUAAUAUUAUGAACGCGGCUGUUGAGUAAUAUCAAAUAUGGAAGCUUUAUCAAGAAACAAGGUUACUUUGAUGAUAAAACAACUGUGUACAUAUAUUUCAAGGAAUCAGCCAACUCGAGUGGUGUUAAUAAUUGAACCUAUUGUUUGUCAAUUUAGAGAAUGGGGGGUGUUCGGGGACCUCAUCUUGUAUGAGGACAUAAAAUUCCUCAUUGGCAUCUGCAUAUAUACAUAUAAGCUGAAUAGAGUACAUACAUACACUGAUUUAAAAAAAAAAAGCUGAUCGAAUGAGUCAAAAGGUAAUUAUAUUCUGUCUUUUGAGCUGAAUGGGAAGAUAAAAGCUGCGAUUGUGAUUGUGAUAUGGUGAUGGAGAUUCAUAUAGUUUCGAUUAACACUCACACAGCUGCAAUAAAGGUACUAAUGAAUUAAAAAGGCGUGUAUGUGUGGAUAGAACAUCCCCUCUUUGUCUCUAUUUACCUCAACUUUUCUUUUGUACCCAUCACUGGAUUCCCUUUAUUUAUUGCCAAUCAUCUUCAUUCAUCAUCAUCGUUUGAACGAAACUUGUCAGUUUUAUUUAAGGUCUAAUAAGCUAUCAAGUUAUCUCUGUGCUAUCUUUUAUUACUUUAAAACUUCCUUACUUGAUUGUAAUAAUUCUUUUCAUGUGAUGAGAUGAGAUGGAAUGUGGAAUAUCUCUAACUGUAGGUGAUAUAUUCUCUCUCUCAUUAUAUUUUCUCCCACUAAAAUCAAUUUCCAAAGCAAUCACCUGCCAGUUAUUCACUCACCCUUUUUAAACCCUUGAUCCAUCCAUCUACACGCACAAAUUCUCAACAACUUGAUCAUGGUAGCCACUACGGCAGAUUAUGAUGAAAACUCACACGAUGGCCUAGAGUUCUGGCAGUUCAUGAUUGCAGGGUCUAUUGCUGGAUCAGUAGAACACAUGGCCAUGUUCCCAGUCGACACUCUCAAGACUCGCAUGCAAGCCAUUACUUCUUCAUUCAAAACCCCAUCAUUAAAUCUCAGGCAAUCCCUCGGCUCAAUUUUGAAACUAGAAGGCCUUGGUGGGCUGUAUCGUGGAAUUGCAGCAAUGGGACUAGGUGCUGGCCCUGCACAUGCAGUCUACUUCUCGGUAUAUGAAUCUUGUAAGAAAUCUCUACCAAACAAUCCGAUUGCUCACGCAGCUUCAGGGGUGUUAGCUACUGUUGCCAGCGAUGCGGUUAUAACACCAAUGGACCUAGUCAAGCAAAGGCUGCAGUUAAAGGGAAGUCCAUAUAAGGGAGUGGUGGAUUGUGUGAGGAGGGUAUUGGUUGAAGAGGGAUUUGGGGCCUUUUACGCGAGCUAUAGAACAACUGUUGUGAUGAAUGCGCCUUUUACUGCAGUUCACUUUGCUACUUACGAGGCUGCAAAGAGGGGGCUGACGGACAGUGAUGAGACUUUGUUGGUGCAUGCAACUGCUGGAGCUGCUGCUGGGGCGUUAGCUGCAGCCAUAACCACUCCCCUGGAUGUUGUCAAAACUCAGUUGCAGUGCCAGGUAAUCAAAUUUUAUCGUUUUUCUUUCGUUCUAUUCAUUGUUUUAAGGUUUGAUUUCAUGUCUUGUUGAUUAUUUUUAUUAUUGGAGAUCAAAGAUAUAUAUGGAUUGGCAUUGCAGGGUGUGUGUGGGUGUGAUCGAUAUUCGAGUAGUUCGAUGGUGGAGGUGGUUCAGACAAUAAAGAAAAGGGAUGGGUAUGGUGGGCUGAUACGAGGCUGGAUUCCAAGAAUGUUGUUCCAUGCGCCAGCUGCUGCAAUAUGCUGGUCUACAUAUGAAGCUGUCAAAAGCUUUUUCUAACUACUCAAAACUACUGUUCAAUUUGGUCUAUUCCUCACUUCAGCUGGAAAAGGACCAAAACAAGAUGUUUAACAUCAAAUUAAAACUAAUACACCUGAAUACAUAGUACAUAUGAAUGGAUGCCUGUAUAUAAUAAUAUAAAUUGUUGUAUGCAAUAUAUGUAGUAAUAUAAUAAGAAUGCCAUGUUUUGAAGCUUUGAUGGAUUUGGGGUCUGUCUGUUUUAAUGUGUCCUUGGCAAUUGGCAUCUCUAUCUUUUGUUGUUCAUGGAUAUUAUCUACGAAAUAAAAUUUUCUAAUCUUUCAUUAAAAAAGAGCACCAGUGGUCUAGUGGUAGAAUAGUACCCUGCCACGGUACAGACCCGGGUUCGAUUCCCGGCUGGUGCAUAUCUUUUUUGUAUUUUUGCCUCUGCCACACAGUUAGUUGAUAUUUGAUAACAGCAAACGAUAGAUAGAUAGAUUUAGUUGAUAUUUGAUAACAGCAAACGAUAGAUGGAUAGAUUACAGUAACAAACGACAGUAGUACGUAGUACGUAUAGCUAGAACUUGUCGACAGUGAUCCCAUCUCGAAGAAGCUCAUAUGCAUCUCUGCUUCUGGAUUUCCUCAUACCGGCAGUUACAUGUAUCUUUGUUUCAUCACAUGAAAUACAAGACACCUUUAUCCACACAAUCAUCUUUGUCUUAAUUCCAUCUAUAUCCCAUAGCUUACCUUUCUCUAGAUAACCAUUUACAACUGUUGAGAAACGCAACACCGACUGGUCUUUGUACCCCACUUCACACACCUUUGGAAUGUGCACUGUCAGCUUUCUCGUUUCCUCAUCGAACUCGUAAUUUGUCGCAUCACGCGGGAAUAUACCUACUGCCAGCUCAUACUCCUUGAGAAGUUCUGUUAAUGGCUUCUGAACUUUUCCUGAGGAAUAAUACUACUUGUAAUAUUAGAUCAAUCAUCGAUCAUCAUCAAAGUAUAUGUAUAUAUAUAUAUAUAUAUAUAUACAACAAGAAAAAGAAGAAGACUCGCCUUUUAUCUUGUUAACCAACCAUGUUGCUCCCCCUUCGAUGCUGGUUGAUAAGGACUAAUUAUAACAAACACCAAGGACAAUAUAUAUCAGCAUUCUAAUAAUAGCGUAGGAACCUCUGCGAAAUUCUUUUGGUAUUGAUUCAUAUAAUGCACGUAUAAACCAUAUCUAAAAUUAAGAUUCUAAAAUAGAAUUGAGAGAUUUGCUAAUGUUAGAAUGCAAAUAACCUAAAUUCCAGAAAAAAAAAAAAAAAAAAAAAAAACUCGCUCGUUUGUUCUUACAUUGAUUUCGUUGGCGACGGAGGCAACCUCCUUGUUGGUUUGUUGGCCCAACCAAUAAGAACCGACCUUGCUGAAUACUUGAUCCAUUAACAAUACAACAAGACAACCGCUCGCGCAAAUACCUUAAUUAUUAUAAUCUCUCUCUUCCCUGAUUUCUUUCUUUCAGAAUGCAUGCAGAGAGAGAAAGAGAAAGGUCUUGUUUGUUCUUCCCUACUUUUCAGCACGACAUAUCAUAUAUGCACUCCUCUUCUUUCUCAUUAUUCUUGCUAUUUGCGGCCUCUAUUAAUUUGUUAUUUUAGCUCUCCUUGAUUAUAAAUCAUAUUAAUUAGACUUUUAAUUAGCAGUUAAUUCCUAUAUAUUCCAUUUUCUGUUGUCUUAUCCAUCGGAUUUGUGAAUGAUAGAUAGCAAAUGAAGUAUAUAAGACAUGACUUUAUUUAAAUAAUCCACAAUAUAUAAUUUUCAUUUUUUAGUUAAUGGACUAAUCAAUUAUUUAUAUAUAAAAAGUUGUAGGAUUACAUUCCAUCAUAGUAUAGUAUUGAAAAUAAAUCAUUUCGAAAUGUUGUAGCUAGGUAAUUUAUUCUUGAUCAAGUUAAAUUUAAUUACAGAUUAAAAAAUAUUAUAGAUAUAUAUAUCGUCCUCUAGGGUGAAAAUAUUGUGGUAGGAAUCUUAUAUCCGUAAGUUACUAGAUCCUAUUUUAGGGUUUGUUCUGGAUCAACACAUGAAUUUUGAUCGAUCACAACUACCACUCUAUCUCCUUCCUUGUUUACAAAUUCAUAAUCCCGGUGUUUGUGUCUAAAAACUCACUAAUUAUAAUUGAAAAUGUGUAACUGUAAGUCCAUUCCAUUAAUCAUGCAUGAUCGCCAGAUUGCUACUAAAUUGACAUAUAUAGAUGAUCAAAAAACAAAUCAGCAUUAUAUUCCAGAAAGAUAAUACAAGUCAGUCAGUCAGUAAGUCAAAUGAGAUUUACAGAAUGCUCUUCCCCUGGUAAAUGGUAAUAGCAAACAACACAUUACUACUACAUCACACACACACACACACACACACACACAAACAGUAUAUAUGUUGGGGUUCUAUAUAUAUAUUAUACAAAAACAAAAUUACAAAUAUUAACAUUCCCUAAUUAUGCAAAAAUGGUACAGAUUAAUUUACAUGCAUAAUAUAUAUUAUGCUCACCGCAUACAAUAUUACGGAAUUACUCAUCCGAAUCAAACGGAUUCCUCGAUCGGGAAUAUUUGUAAAAGAAAAAAAAUAGAAUUUAUUAUUCAUCACCCUGAUCGAGGCUCCUGAGGUCAAGUCCUAACAGCAAGAGGAGGCUGAGCAACGGCGGUGGUGGUGAAGAAAGAGAGGAAGCCAGAAACGCCUCCCUGAGGCUCCUGAUCAUCAAGGAAAAGAUCUUCGGGAGCCCUAAAAGCACCGUGCAAGCAAACAAUGCCUACGCCAACCAUGAGGGCGGAGACUAGUACAGAUCCGACGCUGGUGAGGAAUAUGACAACAACGGUUAAGAAGAUUAAGAAGAGGAGGGUCUCGCGAUCCGAGAAUUGGCGUCCGAAGGCGGUGAUUGGAGGAUCAGACGACUGCCGAAAGAGGUAGAGGAAUAUCCACGCGGCGAGCAGGCCAGUAAGGAGGAUUAGGGAUAUCGGAUUCGUUAAAAGGGACACGGCGACGACGGCGGUGAUGGCGACGAGGUAAUUGAUGCGAAAAUAGUUAUAGUUCUUGCGGAAACGGAGGCUAGCUUCCGAUAGGGAUUCGGGCUUGGAGAAGGCGGAACGGUCGAGGAGCUCUGGCCAGGGGCGGCGGCUAGCGAGGCCGGAGCCCACAGUGUCGGAGAUGUUGGACAGAAAAGCGCGGACGGGCGAGGUGGAGGAGGAGGAGGACAAUUGUUGGUUAUCGGAGGCAGCGGGAGUAGAUUGAGGGUUGGAGAUUGGGAGGAUUGCAGGGGAGGAGCUUGCUGCCAUUUUUAGGUGAUUGAAUGUAAAUAUCGGCAAAUUUGCAAGGAGGAAAUUUAUUUAUAGGGAACGUUUGAGAUAUCAUAUGGCGUUCAUGAAAUUGUGUCGGUGGAUCAUGUGAACUGUGGAGCUCCCGAUUAAGCCGAAUUAUUAUUUGUUUAUUUCCUUUUUGGUAACUAGACUCUAAGCUAUGGAUGCAAAUUGGAUCGGAAUUUUUUUAAUCUCCAAUUUGAAUCUAUUAAUUUUAGGAAUUAUCGGAAAUAAAUUUUCUAUUUUUUUUCAAAACUUAAAAAUGGGUUCCAUUUUCUAUUUAAAGAAAAUCAGAAUUCAAAAAUGCAUUCCAAUUUCUAAUACGAUUUUAAUUUCUGACAGUUCCGAAUUCCGUCAUUUUUCGAUCACAAAAUUUUCAAAUUCUUAACAAAUUACAGAAAAAAGGUUACACUUUCCUUCGACCUUUCAUGACUUUAUAAUAAUGCAUAACUUGGCCAACAAAGUUUUUUUGGGGGAAAAAAAAAGAGAGGACUGCUUUGAAGAUUGAUAAUGCAGCAGGUAUGGUUUCAAUCCCCUCUCAAAACAAUAGCAGAAGCAAAGCACCUUUUUCCGACGGCACUUAAGUUUGUUGCUUCCCAUCCUCGACCUUCCUUAUAACAUUCGAUCUGUCACAAAUAGACUUUCAGACAACAAAUAUAUACUUUACCAAAUAAAUUUUAGAAAGAAAAAAAACCCACUAAUGGUGGGGGUGUGUGUGACAGAGCCCGUGAGAGAGAGAUGAUUGACUAACCUGGUCGACAAUUUCCUCGUCAGUUUGAAUCCCACCAAUGACAUAAAUGGAAUCACCAAGAACAGCAGCAGCUGAAUAUCCCCUUCCUUGAUUCAUAGGCUCCGCACUCAUCCAUGUCCCAAGACGAGUAUCAUAUAUCUCAACACACGGAGCCAUUGUUAUUCCAUCGUAACCACCUAUUGCAUACCUAGACAAUUUCCCAUCUUAUCUCGUAAUUACAACAAUUCCAUUCAAUUCACAUGGAAUGGGACACUCUUUCAUCCGAUGAAUAUUCAAAAAACAGAGAUUGGGAAAUAAACUUACAACUUUUCAUUCAUUACCACCAGUGAGUGGCAGCCUCUACUCGCAUUCAUACUCCCAAUUCUUGUCCAUGAAUUUUCUCUAGGGUCAAACCUUUCAGCAGUCCUGCACAAACCCAAAGAAAGCCACUUGUGAGAUGCCAUGCCGGACCUUCUUUCAAAUUUUCCAAAAAAAUGCUAAUUUCAAACAGGUUUCGCAACUUACGUCAAGUACUCAUUUCCAUCAUAUCCACCAACAGCGUAGAGGGCACCAUUGAGCUCCACAGCAGCAAGAGCAAACCGCUUUAAAACAAAGAUCAAUAUUAACUAACAACAACGAAUAUUAAUAUUGAUCUUUAUCAAUAAAUACCCAUUCAUUUACCAUCUCAUGAAUUAUAAUUCAUUAAACACCAAAAUCAAUUGUCAGUGAUGGUAGACUACCUUUUGCAACAUUGAGCGUGCACAAAUCCAUCGCCCAACAUAUGGAUCAAACAUUUCUACAUCCGAGAAGCAUUCAGUCCCAUUUCCACCACCAAGUGCGAAAAUUUUACCAUUUAAAGCAGCACCAGCUAAGCUGCCCUUUUCUUUGUUCAUGGAAGGACGAAGGGUCCAUUCGUUGUUUCCAGCAUUAUAAGACUCAACUUCAUAUAAACAAAAUACAGGUGUCAAUAAGUAGGAAGAUCAAGAGGGAGAGAGAAAGACGUGCAUGCAUAAUGAACUGAUAGGGGCACAAAAAUACCUGUAUCAUACCACAUCAUAGAACCAGAUCCACCACCAAAUACAUAAAGUUCUUCAUUACAUCUGGCAACUGAGGCAUAUGAUCGAAUAUAAGACAUUGGCUUAAGAGACCUUAAGACAUCAUGUGAAGGUAAGAAGGAAUGCAAUGCUGAUGACCACGCAACACCAUCAUAUCCGCCAACUAUUAAGAUGGACUCAUCAAGAUUCAGGUACAAUUCAUCAGUGGACUCAAUCGGUGCCUCGUCGCCAGAGAGUCUCAUGGAAGUAUUCAAUGUCGACUCCAAUUUCAUACUUCUAUUCUCCAGCCGAUGAAUUUCUUGUUCUGCCUCAGCCUGAAAUGUGAUGUGGACUUACAUUGGGAAUAUAGGACUAAUAAAAACCACUACCAACUCAUUAACUAUCACAGGCAUGCACUCACUGGCAAAAGGGAGCAAAAUAUUGCUUCUUCAGUGAUGGAUAGUAACAGCCCAAACAGGUAUGUUUGCACCACAAUGAAACAGGAACCGGAUUUUCACAAUAACAUAAAUAAAUAACCAAUUAUUACCAUGCAAAAGAGAUUUCACCACUAAGUGCAUUGUGCUGAGGGAAAGCAAAAGCUGGUUCAGAAUUUUAUAUAAUACUUCAGUUCGACAAAUCCAACUUCAAUUUAAAGUCCCUUGCCAACAUAAAGCAAUAUUAUUUAACACAAAACCAAAAUGACUUGUUCUCUGUGCAGAGUACUCGCAAUGAAGCAACCAACUGGCAAUUUAUCAGAAAAUUUAGAUCACCACUAUCUCCUUAUCCAUUUAACAACACGUAAUGGCGCAUCAAAGGUGAGAUUGUAAACUCGAAAUUAACCAAACAAUCAGAUGAAUUUUCUCCUCUCUUUUGCUCUUUGCCAAGAGAAUGAUCUCAAUAAGAUUCGAAGGUAAUGAUUAAUGUACCCAUUAUUAUUUUUAUCUAAAUCAAUUUUAAGGACAAUUCAGAUAAUUACAAAGAUAAGCUGAACAUUAAAAUUUGUUUUGCGACCACAUCAACUUCUAAAUUGGAUGCUUAAAGUUAAUUUCUCAGGCAUUUGCAAACACCCCCAACUUUACUCGCAACAACCAACUUCUAAUUUUUCAAAAGCUUUUGCACACACCACCAAAGGCUCACUGGCUAUCAAGGAAGCUCAUGCCAAGUUUUCUGCCAUGUGAGCAGUUUUUGGCUUAUUUGAUCUAAACCAAAAUUGAAGUGCCAAAACACUAGAUAGACCAAGCUAGAGGAUUAAUGUUACUGAAGAGAACCCAAUUUUGUUCCCACUAACAUAAUGCAAUUACACAGCAGUAGACAAUCAAGUCUCUAAAUAGGUAUAUAGUUUUUUAAUCAGAACAAGAAGCAUGUCAGUUUUCUUAUCAGAUUACUAGUUCAAAUUGAUACUCUUCCCCAAGAAAGCCAAGAACUUAAACAACAAGUUAAAUGCUUUUGGAAGAUGAGGGUUGUUGAAACAGAAAAAAUACCAGCUUUUUUUCAAGACUUGCCAUCUUUUGAUUUUGCUCUUGCUUAAAAGUCUUUAGCUCUUCCAUUUCCCUGCACAACUGCAUUCAACAUAGAUAUAGGCGUUAGCUAUGUCAAAAACCACUGAAAUCUGACUGCACUAACAGUGCAAUGUGCAUGAUGAUCUUUAAAGCACGCAAAAUAACACAUGAAGGUUUAAAUUAAAUAGAAUUCAGCCAAGUUAACUAGCUUGAAUGCAGUUUUAGACUCAAGGAAUCUCAACUAACUAGUUUCAAAUAUAGACAAAGCAACUGGAUGUUGAAAAAAGUACCUGUACUAUGAUAGCAGGAUAAUCAAGUGAAUCCAAAGAACUUCCACCAUUCUUCUUCUCCAAAGUAACCAGAUCAUCAUCAUCGUGGGUUUCAUGUUUCAAGUCCAUGACACUUGUAGAUGCACCUCCUAUCCCACGCCCUAUCAUGUUUCCAUCUUUAAACUCAGAACUGAGAGCCAACUCUUUCAGUUUCAUGUAAAUAAGAUCCUUUUCAUUGCACUCUACCAUUGAGUUGGAUGUUGAUGCCUCCAUCCAUUGAUUAUUUUCACCCAAACAGAGGGUACCAUUUGCAGUGGCCGAUGUUCCAAUUGAAUCAUGAGAGUUGACAAAAUCAUCGGUCAAGAGUGGUGGCUCAGAUACUCCACUUUCUUCUCUCUUGUUGCUUGAGGGAAGCCUCUGCACUAUUGCAGUCCGCUUGGGGAGAUUUUGUGGUACAAAGGGCCUCGGGGCAACUGCUAAAGAGGAUAGCAUGGAUAUCAACUUGUUUGCUUGAGCAUGGUCCAACUCAAACCAAAAAUGGGUUUGACUGUAAUAGUUAUCUAUAAUUAUUGGCUUGAACUGAUACUCAGCAAGGACUUGGCAAUGCAUGCGGACACGUACUUGGACCUAUACGAAAAAUAAUGGAGACAAUGACGUAGCUGGUAAAGCCAUAACAACUGAUGGUAUUUCCAUAUAAUAAUACCUGAGCUGGAUACUUUGUUCUCUCUGAACCGUCUGAUGUCCAAGCAUAUGAAUCGAUAUUCAUUUUCCCUGAGCUAGCAGCUUCGUAGAUACCAUGAAGUUGUCUUCCAUUAUAGUUGAACAAAAAUAAUGGUAGACCUGGCGCAAUGUUCUUUACAUAUAAAAAGUGUUGUGCUGGCAGGCCUGUCAACAAUUCAAACAGAGAUGAGUCUCCCGAUGGAUAAGUUUUAAACCAAUUUUAUCAUGAGAUUAUGAGUUAAAGUCUUGAACAAAUUAGUGACUGUAAGACAAUAUCUACAAUUGACUCAAAUAUGACUAACCAAAUAGUUGAUUGGUGAGACAUUCUUUGAUAGUGCUUGUUGUGCAACCAAAUAUUACACCUCCAAGUUGAUUCUUAUUCAAAUUUCUUGCACACGCCAUGUUAGAUGCCAUCGACCAAGAAGGAGAAGCUUCACUCUGACGUUUGUUCUUCACAACUCCCAUUCUGACAAGGCAAUUGGAUGAACCAUGAGCCAGAUUAAAACUCCACUUGGAAUUGGAAAUUCUAAUGCAAUCAAACUAUUUUUACAUGAUGUCAUGGAAAGAUCAUUAGAUAAAUAUGCAGAUGGCAGGAGUACUUGUUGUUAUUGGGGAAGUAGAAAUGGAUGUCUUAGAAUAUGCAAAUAUUAGGAAUAUCAACAAAAACGAGAUGCUACAAACAUUAAAAAAUUUAAAUGGAAGUAAAUAAGGUACAGCCAUGACUAAUGAUUCGAAAGAAAUUUUACUCGAAACUAAACUGAUUGAAAUGCUCAACGUGGAGCAAAUUCUACUAACACAGGGGAUACUGAUGGGAGAAUACACCAGAAUAUCAACGAAAAACAGGCAUAUCCAAUAUUAACAAAAAUCUCGCUGCAUUUUAUGAUCAUCAGGAAAAUCAUGCUAACUUUAAGCUGCCUUGAACAAAUGAUAGUAUAAGUGCAGGGCAGCAUUAAAAAACAAACUAAU